Molecule: long non-coding RNA, 45924 nt
Filed under: Musa acuminata (dwarf banana)
Lineage: Eukaryota; Viridiplantae; Streptophyta; Magnoliopsida; Zingiberales; Musaceae
Description: long non-coding RNA (MACU_LNC004198)
Source: RNAcentral
UUGAAGGAUCGAGGGAUGGGUUGUCGGAGGAGUUGCGUGCUGGUGAUGGCGCUGCUCGUCUCGGCCGUCGUCGCGAGCAACGUCGGCGGAGUCGACGCGGCGAGGCCGGUGCCGGACUGCUUCGACGGCGGCGAGAGCUACUUGGCGUACCCGAGCACGCAGGAGAAGGCGAGAGCGACGGUGGCGACGUGGAUGGCGAGGCUGCCGUCAGGGCCGAGCCCGAAGGGACCCGGCCAUUAGUGACGGCGGAGCAGCUCGAUCACGUUACGCCCUGUAAAAUGAUGCAGGCUUAAGGAAGGAAAUUACAUGAAAUGUAAAGAAGCCUUCUUUUUUGUUUUGUUUUUUUUCUUCUUUUUUUUCUUCUCUUGAUAAAAGGAUGGGAUAAUUUUUCCCAUCCAAAGAAGAAACACUCCGUUUACUCCCAAGUAUUCGGAUAGUUAAUAUUUUGUAUUUUUUCUAAUACGGAGUUCAAUGGUAAGGUUGUUAAUACUUUCUUAAAAUAAAGAGGUAAAGCUCGUCCUCGCAAUGGGAACCUCAUGCAUUUAAUACUUAAUAUAUAUAUAUAUAUAUAUAUAUAUAUAUAUAUAUAUAUAUAUNNNNNNNNNNNNNNNNNNNNAUAUAUAUAUAUAUGUAUAUAUAUAUAUCCACCAGCUAAAUCAUGAAAUCAGACUAAACCACUUGAAACAGUAUGAACGAGGCACAAUUUCAAAGAGAGGAUUUGAUCACGAAUUAUGCCAGGGUGUAAAAGGGAGAGGAGGGAGGGUGGGUGGGAGAACAACGACAAAAAGGAUCGAUACACACGGCAAAACCGAUGAUGCUGAGCAUCCCAUGAAUUCAGUCUUCUAAAUUCGAUUAAUCUUGUUUAUAGCAAACUUAUCAGUGAUGGGGUAUAUUCUGGUAUAACAAAUAUCAAUAGUUAUGUCAAAACCAACAUGAUAUGAAGCCUCAGAAUCGAUAUGAUGCACAUGUGCGAUGUAACACUUUGGACCCAUAUGAGAUGGCGAACCGUGGCCAUGUCGGUCAGGGUAGUACGAGACAACGUUGUGCAACGUGCGACGUGAAACCAUAUAAGUUGAUCCACGUUGUAUGGGGUAUAUGAGUCAAUCACCCAAAGCAUUGACGGUCAUUAACGAAUCAUGUAUGAUCGACCCUUGAUAAUAAGUAUAGAAGCUAACCCCUAGCCAGGGGAUGAGACCUCCAACACUCGAGACACUCUCAACUCCAUUUUAUACUUAUGUAAGUUUCGAAGGGAUCGAGAGGUCCCUCCCCCCACAACUUUGACUUAUGUGUGUAGAAACUUAGACACGGAAAAGCACAUUAUGGAAGAAUCGACUCUCAGCUCCUCCUUGGGUCGACCCAAUCGAUGACGCUCUGACCUUACUUAGCAUCGACCCUCUCGCCUCAAGAAUCUGUGUGAAUGAUCUUGUGUUCUCGGGAUCGAAUCGAGCACCAGCAAUACUUCCCUCUCAUGGAACAAACAUUUAAGAUUGACAAAUUGCCUCAAUAUUCACUCAAAACAAUUACGUUAUCAAAUUUGAAUUGAUUUUUUGUUUCUACGCUAUCUGAACACGAAAACCCACUACAAGUUUGGAGGACUCAGCUUUUUAGAUUAAGCUUGUUUCCUUCUGAGGCUCUGCAGGCUUUUUCUCAUCCUUCUGUCCUUUUCUCAUCAAUAAGUUACAAAUGGAAUAAAUCAACUUUUGGAUUUUUUCGUUUCUUGGAGUUGUAAAAUUGCAUCAAAGCCAAAAUCAUUUCCCGGUUGGAAUGUUGAUUCAAGCUCUUCAUAGCUCUGCUUAACUCUAAGAUCUUUGGUUACCUUGAAGCUCUCCUGUAACAUGUAUUCAGUAAAAGCAUGAUGGAUGACUACAAUUAGGAACAACCGAAGAGAAGAAAGAGCUCACUGUUCUUUCUAAAUUACUGGUACUAACAUGGACACCAUUAAAAAUACUUACAAUGAUGUAACACAUGAUAGCAGCAUCUUAAGAUAAAGGUACCUUUUCAAUAUAUUCAGCGACUGUAGCAUUGAUGAUUUUCUUGAUAGAGUGCUUGUUAACUUUUGAUGGCCCAAUGACGUGCAGGAGAAUAUCUUUUGGUAUCUACAAUUAAAGAGUACAAUAUUGAAAAUCACCACCAUUCAUAUGAUAAAUGUAAAUAACUGCACUAAAUUCAGAUAUCAGGAAAAAAAAAAAAUCGGAUGUCAGGUACUAGCAUUGCUUUAAUGAAGCCAAUAGAAGAAAUAUACCAAAACAGCACAUUCACCUGUUUCUAAAACAAUUUUCAGCUUCUAGCUACGUAAAUGUACAUUGGGCAAUCUAAAACUCGGUAAAAAGUUCAGAAACAAAUUUGCCAGAGAACCUCAGGAAAUUCACAAAAUAUGUGGUUGCCAGUAAAACUAACAGCUCAACUAAAAUCAAUUGGACAGGAAGACAGGAAGACCAUCGAAAUUAUUGAGUCACUUUGACAAAGUCUGCAGGGUGUUGUAUCUACAUAGCUAAAUCUUAUUUCAAAAUAAGAGGAAAGGCGAAUUACCAAAAGGAAACUACUUCAUGCUUUAGUCUACGCUUUGUUUUUGCUUUCUCUAUUAUUCAUGGAACUAGUAAAAUUUCAGGUGCUAAAAAUAACAAGAAUUCAGAUGGUCCCGUAAAAGCACAUUUCCUAUGUGAAGUCCCAGGGUCUCUUUGGGUCUUUAGUUUUACCAAACAAGGUCUGUUAUACCUGGCCAUAUGAUUGAAAUUAUAUCCAAUCAGAUCCGUAGUCAGCAAAUUACCAGACCUGCAAGGUUUUAUUCAUUCCUAUCUGUUGAUGUAGCCUCCUUCAAUUGUAAUUCCUAAAACCUACAAUUUUUCCCAUAAUCAAAAUUUGUAGUCUUAGACUCUUAAUAAGUCCAUAUAAUUAUAAUUCCAGACUUGGUUGCCUGUGUGACUCAAACACGUUAAUGCAAGUUUGAACUUCAAGAGUAGGCAAUGUGGGGGAACGGUAAAAUAUCCAUCAACAUCGCUAUCUAACACCUUGUUGAUUCUUACCCAGAUUAUCAACCAGUAUUGGGAAGUUUUACACUUCACCAGAGAAUUGGAUGUAAAAACUACAAGUCAGAAGCAACAAUCUGUCAGUAUACAUAUUAUAAACAGAAGCAUCCUGAUGCUUUCACAAAGUGCUGCAUUAUGGGCACAAAAGCUUUCCAUUUGACUUGCAAAAGCCAGUCAAAACCACACACUAGUUGUCUGGACACUUAUGAGUAAGACUACUUUGAUAAAAUCUAGAUCUUUCUAAUCAAAAUUAGUAUCACAGCAUUGAAUUUAUGAAGAGGAUCUGUUUUCCAAUUGAGAAUUGACGAGGUCUACUAACAAAAGAUUGAGAAAAUCAGAUGGCUUCAUAGAUUUCUGAAGCCAUUUUAAAUCAAUCACCGACAUUCCAAGUGACAUUCUAAUGUCCAGAAGAGAACAUUUUACAGGGUAACUACUUGACUAAUGCAACUUGCAUAACAAUAAAAAGAUGACAUAAGCAGUAAAACUUACAUCAGGAGUCUUCCCUGAUACAUCCAAGAAUUUUUCCACCAGUCAUGAACAAUGGGAACCAACAAGAAUACAAGUCAGUUUAUUCUGUGAAGGACAUCUUGAUCAACAUUUAAUAGUGCAGAGAAAGCAACAAAAAAGAUAGCAAUCUGUAAGAUGAUUCCAAAUGCCAUGUUCUUCAAGUAAUGAAAGCUACUGAAGUUCUAAAAGUUAUAGACGAUAAUAACUGAGUGUAAAAAUGGAAAAGAUAUAAAAGUUGAUAUCAUCCUGUCCCACAAACCAAGGAUCACACAUGAAUGCAAUGUAAAUGAGAUCAGCCAAUCCGUAUUGAAGUAUCCAGUAGUGGCAGAAUGACUGAAAAAGGAGUUAGUUUGGCAUAAUGCAGGUGGUAUGAUGGUUAUUUAAAAACUGGUGACAGUUCUCUGAAUCAAGCACAAUGAAGGGAAAAAGAGGUAAGCAGCUGAUCUACCAAACCACAAUAAUUGCAAAAAAAAAAAAGCCUUUUGUGACAUGCCAUUCAACAAACCAUGUAGCUUGAAACUGUGGAGAUAUGCUUGUCAUGAAUAAAUAUGAUAGUGUGAAUGUAUUGUAAAUAUUCAACAAAUUCAAAAUGUGAUAUCAGAUUCACCUCCUUUCACUCUCCGAAAACCAGGAAUUGGUUGUGCAGCAGCAACUAAUUUGGAAAACACAUCAUCAAAGAUGGCCUGAGUUCUAGUGCCAGAUACAUCAACCCUAAUCUGCAUCCAAGGUUAUGUCACAAUUUUAAGUUUGUAUGCUCUCAAGAAUUAUGCCAAAGCUUCAGGGAAAUACAUAGUCAAUAGUAAAUGUCAAAUAACUUGCAAUUGACAAUCUUCAAGAUCAAUCCAUAAUUAUUGGAAAAUUUAUUAUCAAACAUUCAAACAUGAAAUAAACAAAACAUAUUAGUGAUUUUUACCUUUAACUCUCUAUCAUCUGAGUUGUUAACAGUAACAGUGAAGUCCUCAAAAGGAGACAUGGAAUUACCAAGACUCUCAGGAUCUGCAUUUCAAAUAUGGAGAAUAGGUUAUUACACAUAUGCUGAUUGGUAAAAGAAGUAGCAUAGACUUCUACCUGAAGAUAUUGCUUCAAUUGCAUCAAUACUUUUGUAGCCAUCCCUGUAUAGAUCUGGAAUUUUUUAAUAAGGGUGUAACUCUGGCUAUGUCAUCGGUUGCAAUUAGAAACAAAAAGGAUGCACGGAGAGGCAACUGUGAUAUUUGCAUGUGUUUUUUCUUUAAGAUAAAAGAAGUUGAUGGAACUAGAGCACAAGUAAUUAGGAGGGGAAAGCAGGACAGGUGGAGAAGCAGGAUACAACAUAACUAUUCUAUUGCCACUAUGACUCUGACAUAGUUAUAAACUCUGAAGAACAAAGGUAUUUUUUUAAUAUGAGAAAGAAAGUGGAUGUGAAGCAGAACUUAGUACAUGUAGAUUCCAACAUUGUUGUUAACGGAAAUAUACAGGAAUUUUAUGAAGUUCAAAAGUACAUGGAAAGAUAUUCUAUAAAACCUAAUAGAGAUUUCUCAUCAAAAUAUAUUCUAUGGUCCUAUGGAAACUCAUUUUCAGAACUAGAUCCCAAUUGGAUAGAACUUUGUCUUAGGGGAGUAUUAGCAAAAAUAUAAAAAAACAAAACAAAGGCAAUAGAAAGAGAAAAGACAGAAGAAUUAUACAAAAACAACGUGCUUCUUCUGGAACAGUAUGAACUAACUCAUAAAGUAUUGGUACCUUCUAAAAUUUUCUCGAGUGACAUUUUGCAUACGAAUUGAUGACUGCAUUCUCCGAGAGAAUGGUAAUCCAGCACACAGGUUUAUUCUUUGCUUUCGAAUCAUUAUCUGUAGAGAGAUACAAUCACAGAACAAUGUUAAGGAAUCUAGCAUCUCAUUUAUUUGUCGAGGAUAAAGGAUGUACAUAUAGUGACCCUUCCAUAUACCGUGUCCAAGAAUUAAAAUGCAGAUAAUUAUAGGUUAACCAAUGAUGCAAAGAGUCCAAAUAAUCACGCCUAUGAAAUUGCUUACAUAAGUAGCAUCCUUUAGUGAAUUAUUUCAUAAGCACACCAAUGAAACUGCUCAAAGGGGAACAAUUGCUUAAUCUCUCUCCUCCACAGGACUUAAAAGGAGGAAUUGCAAUACACGAGCCGAACCGAAACUGAUUUCAUCCCUCAUGCCAGACUUUGCGAGGAACAAAAGGAACAAACUAAUGUGCCAGAAAAGAAACAGAUCAAAGUACUUGUUGAUGAUCUAAGAAUUAGUUAUCACAAAAUAGAUUUGAGUUCUGGCAGCUUUUGUUACCUCCGGAUUCAGUCCAUUGCAUAAAGGUCUAAUGGCUAACUCCAUUUCGUUCCCCCCUUUCCUCUGGAGAUGAAACCCAAAACCCUAUCGGAAACCCUAACUCUGGCCUUUGUAGAUUUUCCUCUCGGUGUUCCGCCGGAACCGUUUAAAGAGUACCACGUGGCACUCUGUGAUGACUAAAGGCUUUCUCGUAAUUAAUUACAAUAUAGAGGACAUUUCCGUCAACUGCCUCAGCCGAUGGACGCCAACGAGCGCUCCCGCCGUUCAAAAAAAAUUAGGGUUCUUUUUACGGUUGAGUCGUUAUCGAAAUCGUCCGAGGGGAAUUCCGGCGUUGGUGACAUCGAAUACGGUCAGCACGAGGCUUGCGCUUCAACGAAAUCAAUCUCUAUUUCAGCAAGUAAUUCUUUUUAUUUCUUGAAUUCUAGAAAUAUCUUGUUUUGAUAAGAGGAUUUAGAUUAGUUUGAUUUCUUUUUUGUCCGAAAACACUAGUCUUUAGUAGCACUAAGUUUCCUGUUUCCUUAGCUUGUAUGUAAAAGAGAAAUCUUGGUCUCGUGAUAAUGGUUUGUUCUGUCAUCGAUCUUCCAAAUUAAUGUCACCAGAUUUUUGUUAGAAUAUCUCACUUGUUUCCAUUCUCUCUUCCAUUUUGUUAUUGUGAAGAAGCCAAUUGGUUGGUUUCACUUCUUGAUGGAGUCUGAUCUGGUUCAGCAUGGAGAACUGUCGAUUCAAUUUGUAUUGGAAUAAGCUGUGCAUGGAUGUUGGCAAAGUGAUGGAGAUGAAAUCAUAUAAUUGAUGUAUGCAGCGAGUGCACGAAUAUUUACUCUCCUUCCUGAUUUGCUCCUAGUAAUUUCUCUGUACUGACCAUCAGAGCUAAGGUCAGUUUGGUGGUUGCUCCAUGAACUUGGUACACUAAUAAUUGCACUGUGGUCGACCUCAAAAUGAGACAUUCGGCUUCUUUAUGGACCAACAGAAGAACAACCUACCAAAAAAUGUGGGGCUUUCACAUUUCAGUGAUCUAACUUUUAGGUGUGCACUGCUGCCAUAGUGGCCCUUGUUUCAAGCCCUUCUAGUUUUCAUUAGCAAAGGUGUAGAGAAGAAACUAUUAAAUUAAAAAGAUUGUGAUCAUAUUUCGUAAUAGUGAUUACUAUACAGUUUCUUAUCGUGAUAUGUAUAUAUAGUGUAUUUUUUACAAUCUUGUUACUUGGAAAAGGGCUCAAGCAUUUGCUAUUGUUAUACCAUCAAUACCAACAUGAAGCUUUAUACCUUUUCAAGGUCACCUCCUUGGAUCCUUUUACUCCAUUAUAGAAUUCUUUUCCUUCAUCUGGUUUAGAAAUUUGACCUUAAAUCUAUACCAAUUACCAUUACCUUUAUAAAUGUUCAUAAAGUUUGAUCUGUUACAUUUUACAUUGAACUUUUCAUAUUUUUCAUUGCUGAAAUUGUCAUAACGUGUGAAUAAAACUAGGAAAACAUGAGGUGAAAAGUCAGUUUAUGACGACUUAGACCACUAAGAGCUUGAAGCAGCUUUUACUCCUGGAAAUGAAUUUGUAUCCAGUGCUGUGUAGAUGUUAAAAAUUUAGAUCAUGAAACCACCAGCUCAAACUCUCCUUAGUCAUGCACAAGGAUUCAUGUGCAUACCAUUUUCCAAAAUGCUUUGUUUGUAUUUUUCUUCUAAGUAGCUAGUACCCUGCUCUUACCGAUCUCAAUGAUGUAUCAAAGCAAAAUUUAUCUUGAGUUUGGAAACCACUUUUUAUGAUGUCGCUUUCUGAAAGAAUGAUGGAUAAUAGCUAGUUCUUGAUGUUUGUACAGGUUUUCUUGUUCAUGAAAUAUGUUCUUGUCCUGCAUGUCUUUGCAGAGGCCUCACAUGCUCUCACACCCACCAAUGGAAGACAUUGAUUCCAUAGCCAAUGAGAGAAGUAAAAUCUGUGGAAGUCAGUUCACAGAUAUAUUACAUGCAGGGCAUAAGCAAGAAGGGCUAAUGUUUUCCUAAAAUCUUACAGUUUCAAUGUAUUCCCUAUGCUUUGAUAUGUUCUACCAUCAAGUGGCGGAUCUUGGAUUAGAGUAAUUGUUUUCACAAAGCUUUCAAACACUAGAUUUUAUCUUUAGGGAAUGCUACAUCUGGACUAUCUUUAUAGUUUCUUUCUUCUAAGUUCAACUCUUUUUUGUCUUCUCCAGGUGUAACUAUGGUCAACAACCUCAGAGGACAGAGGUCACAUCUCUCCUACAAAUUUAAGAUGUAAGUGUUUGUGUUACUUUGAUUAGAACAAUUUAAAAUACCAGCUAACUAGAAAAAGAUGAUUUAUUGCAUAACAUUAUAAUUUGGAUGUAACCUUACCAUGAUAUCAAGGUAUCCAUUCACUAAAAAAAUAAAACAAAGACAAUUGAAGAUAUCCAAAUAUUUUAGUUCUACCUUAAGUUAUCUCUAGAUUGCAAGAUAUUUAACAAAUAUAAUUAUUAGAGUUGAUACUUGAGUGCUUCAUAUUCUUUAUUUUAGUAGGUUAGGAAUGGGUAAGGAAAUGAUUGUUUUGGUGUAUGGUCUUUUUUAGUUCUUAAAUUGCUUUGAUGGUGGCGGGGCUCAAAUGGUGUAUCCUUAUCACGAAUAAUUGCAAUGUGGUGGGGUCUCACAUGAGACCUUCGGCUUCUUGAUGGACCACCAAAAGUCCAGCCGACCAAUUAAAUGUGGGGUUUUCAAAGCUCCAGUGGUUGAACUUUUGGGGAUGCAAUGUUGCCUAGUGGCCAUUCGUUCCCCCUCAAGCUCUUUGGAUUUUCUUGAACAAUGGAAUGGACGGAGGAGUUGACAUCAAACUAAAUGGAUUUCAUUUGAUGUAACUAGAGACAUUAUCUCAUACAAAUAUCAAAGAAUCAUAUGACUGAUCCCAAAUAAUUGAGACACAAAAUUCAUCGAACAUUUUCCUUUUCUUCAUUUUCUUGAAAUAGGUGCAAUUUAUGUUUUUAUUGUCUGUAGACUAAAUGUCAUAAACAGUUCUAAUGUUCCUUUUUUGUCACCACCUUCCGUCUUAGAAUUUAUUUCUUUUCAUGCUGUUUGUCAACAAGGUUUCAACUUCUUUCUCUAAUAUGGAUUAGGUGGUGACAGUGGUGUACUCUCUAUUUCUAAAAGUUUCAGAAGUUGAAAGUUUCUACUUCUAUUUCUUGUACAGUACUUUUCAAACAAAGACAAGGUUGCCAAACAUGACUAAUUGCUAGUGUUUAUAAGUUUUCACUUUAAAAUUCAAAGUAAUUACCAACCACAGUAAUGUCAAAUACCACCUCUUUUUGCUUCUCCAUGCCAUAGCAAAUGUGUUGUUGUGGAAUUGUGUCAUGUAUCUAAAAAUCCACUCUACAUCAAUUCAUGUAAAUUAUCUAUGAUCAAUUAUGUUUUAUUUUUUUUUGACUCAAUGUGGUUGUGGGCUCCAUUUUUAGGACCAGUGGGUGAUUCCACCCUGCACAAUAAAUAGCCACUGUGAAGGUAACACAUCCCUUUCAUGAUGACCCUUGGAAAGCUUGUGAACACUGAUUUUUCUCUGCCUAAUAAGCUCACAAACAGUAUAUUUAUUUUAUGAGACUCCUAUGAUAUCUCAUUAGCCCCACCACCUUCUAUCUUAUCCACCUUGUCCCCCCUUCUGUUGCUAUACUGCCCAUAGUAUACUAAUUUGGUCCUCCACUUACCCAAGUUUCCCUCUUCCCCACAUCUACCUUUAUUCAUCACACCAACAACUAUCUCAUCAGAAAAUUAAAAAGUUAGUACACAAUAAGUCACUUCCUUUAUUAAGGGAGAGUUCUGAACAGCAACUGUGAAAUGGAGUUCUAAAUUUAAGACUUUCCUCCAACAAAUUCUGACAGAUCCCAGUUUUUCUGACUCACAUAAUUUUCUUCCUUACCAACUGUGCCAUAUUCCAUCCUCAUAGUUUAUUACCCACCAGGCAAUUAGCACCAAAUGGUAUUAUUUUAUUUGGAUUAAUAAAAAAAGCCAGCUUAAUCUUAAGUGUCCUCUCAAUGAUUCCUAAUCAUGUGAAUGCUGAUACAUUUUCUUUUGGAUAAUGCAGUUUGAAGGCCUAAUGUUGCUUUCUUCAGAGUUGGAGAAAGAAAGAGAACAUGACUGACAGUUGACUUGAAUAUGAGUUGUCUCCAAAUGACGCGACUCAGAUAAGAUUUCAAACCUGCCAUAUAUUGUCUUCAGAUUGCUCUCUGGAUGACCUUGGAAACUGAGCAUGGGUGUGACAAUCAAGUCAGGUAAGUUUUUAUGUGGAGGUAGGAUUGGAUCAUUUGGAUGCAUGUUAAUUAAUGAUGGCUUACUAUUAGCUGACAUAUUUUGCCAAUCAUGUUCUCCAUCCAUCACAUAAACUAUGCUAAUCCUCUAACAAUACCCUUCUUCAACAAAAAGGCAGACAAAGAGGAGAAUGACAACCUUGGAAUUGACUGAACCACACCCAGUGUACCACCCACCCACUCCUCCAAUGAGAGAGGAGAGAGGAGAGAGGAUAAGAGCUUUCGGUGAUUCCGAAUUCAGUCUCACAGAUUGAUGUCAUUAUGGCAGCAUCUUCCACUUCCCAUCCCAGUGAAGGCUAAGUCCUGCUGUUACUACAUAAUAACUUUCUUCUCCUUGUAAAUUUACAUAGCUACCGUUAGACAUGCAUUAAAGGCCACACACCAAACCAUAUUCUUUCCUAACAAUUUAUAAUUUAAAUAACAGGAAAAAGAAAUUAAGAGGAUAAUGUUUCCCAACAAUCCUAUGUUAUUCUCUGUAAAGAAAAAUAUUAAAAUUCAAUAAAAAGAAAAUAUUAGUCUUAAUUGGUUUUUGUUGGAGUGCUUUUCCCAUUAGAUUUUACAUAUAUGAUGUUUCUGUUAAAAAAUAAGAAAUUGGGAUUAAUAAAUUAUUAAAUAUAAAAGAUUUGAUUUUUUUUUAUAUGUGAUAUUAGCACCUCUCUUUGUCUUUCAAAACAUGGGUUGUUUGAAGUAGAUUCCUAACAAAUACUAAAAUAAACAAUAUUAUAGUUUUUUUACUGCUAGAUUUAAAUCUUAAUUUGGAGACAAAAAGAUACAAUUGUAGAGCUAUUUCUCACCAAAAUAAUAAUGUUCAAAUUUUUAAUAUCUUAAUUUAAAAUAUUUCAAUGAAUCAUUAUGUCUUGGAAAAUCUUGCUAGCAAAAAAGUUCUUUUUAGGUAAGUAAGGGUAAUACGGUCACAUCAGAUCAGUGAGCGGAGGGGUAAUUUAGGUAUUUUGGUUUUUUUUUUGUUUUUCCUAUUGUUCCCUUUAUUAAAAAGAUCAUCUUUUUAUCUCGUAUUUUGUUUGCUUUCUCCUCUGUUCUUGAAACAGAGCAAGCAUUGUAGAAGAACCAGAAGGAGAGAUGGUAGGGCAUUUCAUGGUCUGCGUCGACGGGAUCAUCGCCUCGGCGGCGUGCUUCGAGCCCGUGAAUCCCGGCGGUUCUCCUCAGGCGGACGGCGGGGCGGUGGAGGAGGGGUGCUCGGUAAGCAGGACGGCCAUCGCCGGUCACAAGAAGAAGGGAGGUGAGAUGAUCGAGUGCAGAAUAUGCCAGGAGGAAGGGGACGAGUGCGACAUGGAAACCCCUUGCGCUUGUAAUGGAACCCUCAAGGUCUUCCCCUUCUCCCCCUCUCUCUUCCCUCCUACCAUUCCUAAGGGACAUUUGCUUCUCUCGUUCUCGCAAAUCUUAUUUCCCCCUAAACAUUGUUUUCUGAAACCAUUUAAUUAAAAAUUCUUUAAGUUUUCUUCUGAGCUAACGAUGAAGUAAUAUUUCUGUUCAAAAGAGUUUCCUUUCUUUCCUCUCCUCUUUUUGAGUUUUUAUUUUUUGUUUUUGUUUGUAGUAAUCUUUUUCCUCUGCACAUGCAAAGGAUGCUUGGCUUUUUUGUUGUAACUGUAAAAUCUCAAAACUUGUUUGGAAUGUUACAUCUCCUUAUGCUUCAUGUCCUACUCGCAUAUGAUAUUUUUAUGAAAGUUUUGACAUCCGUUUUAGUGCUGAUAUUGAUUGCAAUGUAUGAGAUCUUUAUCUUUUUCCUAAUUUUGUAGUUAUCAUUUAAAACGAAAUCUGUAGAUGUCUGACGCUUUUAAUUGAGGUAAAGGGCGACAUAAGGUUUCCAUUUAAUUUUUUUUUCCAAAAUGUUUACGGAGGUAAUAACUUUGGUUCUUGUGAAACUUAUUUGUAUUUGUAUUUUUUUAUACAUGUAGAGGGUGUGUACCAUUUUUUGUAUGGAGGGGUAAAUCUGAAAUACAUGAUUUUUAUUUUCUUCUUCCCUUUUAAUGCUUUUAGAGGUUGUAUCUACGCAUGCAUCAUACUGUGCUUGCACUAAAUAGCUUUAUGUAUAUCGGCGUUCGACAUCUCUUUGGACAAGCAGAGGUUUUGGGCGAUUGCAACCCAUGGCACUGCUAUCAAUGUUAUCGUUUUUCAUAUGUAUUGAAUAUGCUUGUCUUUGGAAUUCAGUUUUAUGUUGGUGUUCAUAUAUUUUAGACAACAGACAGCUGUAAGGUCCCCAAGGCUGCACAUAUCUUUUCCCACCAGAACUCUGUUGAGGGAAACACCACUAGCCCAGUCGAACAGGGUUCUGGAGGAUGAUUGACUAAAUGUUGCAGAACCCUAUAGCAUUACCUGAGGAAAAAAAAAUUACAAAAUGGUUGUUGAAAGUAAAUUUACUAGGACUGGAACAUUUUGUUGAAAGCAAAAUCGUUGUUCAAUCUUGUGAGCUUCUGGGAAGUAGGAUUUGUAAAUAUUCUUUUGUUUCACAUCAUGGUCAAGUAUGAUUACAAUGACAAUUGUUGGUUGACUUGUUAUUUGGUUUUCUCUUGCAGUUUGCCCACAGGAAAUGUAUUCAGAAAUGGUGCAAUAAGAAAGGGAAUAUCACUUGUGAAAUCUGCAACCAGGUUGGGCUUCAAGAUGCUGAUCUCCAUCCUCCUCCUCUUCUCUCUCUCUCUCUCUCUCUCUCUCUCUCUCUCCCCUUUUUCAGAGAAAAAAAAAGAGAACUUAGAUGUAGCUAAGUUUCCUACAGUUGGCUAUUUCCAACAGACUUGUGCAAGUUCAGGCUAUGCUGAUUAUCUUCACAGCAAGGCCAACCUGGACCUGCUUCCCUCUUUCAAUUUCAAUCUAACAAAUCACACUUUUGGGUUGCUGCAAACACCUCUCUGCAACUCUAUCCUGUGUCAAACAUUUUCUUUUCACUGCAAACCACAGAAUGGAGGAACCAUCAUUUGCCAUUCCUACUUUGAGAUUUCAUUGAAUACCCAAAAUGGUAUUCUUUCAAGAAAGGUAUAUGCUUUAGCUAGGCUGAUGACAGAGUCAGACCACAUAUAACUAUUUCUGUAUACGAGCCACCCAAAUAACAAUAAGGCAAAUGACUGUAACUGUAAACAUGCAUACUUUAGGAUAGUGAUUCAUAUGUGAUUAGUACCUGAUGAUCAUGAUGACGUCCUCUUUUGGUUAAACACAUAUUUAUGAGUGGUCAUAAAGGUUCAUCUUGUUUAGAAGGCACAAAGUAGUGGUAUUUGUCUUGUUAGGUGGUUGCCUUGAUAAGUGGUACUUGUCUUGCUUACUUUAUAUUAUCAUAUUAUUUGUCUCUUUUUUGGCUGUUAAAGCAUUUACUGGAAUGCUUUGCUGUUACAGGUUUUUGCCCCAAAUUAUUCUGUUCCCCCAAGCAGACCCAGUCCUGAUGUAAUUGCUAUUGACAUCAGGUACUUCUUGACAAUGAUCUCAUUUUUUUUUAUUUUUUUGUCAGAGUAUUACGCCAUGCAAAAUCAGAUUAAUUUUUUGAAGUCACAGAAUCAGUGUGAACAAAUGUGUGGUUAGGUGGCUUCAGCACCUACUAUGAAUUAUUUUGUCUAUAGAAAAUAACUGAUAUUAUGUUGGAACAGAUAACUUGUAGUUUUUGCCCACAAAAAGGAUUUACAAAGUUUUCUUGCCAAGACUUCUAUAUGCAGUUAACCAGGCAGAAGCGUAUACAAGAGGUUUCAUGACAAGAUUUGUCACAAACUAAAAGCAAGAGCAUUUUCCUGAAUAAGAAGAUCUGGCCAUUAAACCUUCUAUAUGGUGUUGAUUGUCACUGAUAUUUUACUUUCUCAUGGAGCAACAUGAUCCCAAUGAUUAGUGACAAUUUACAUCAAAGUUUCUACCUAGUUUUGGCAGCUCCACUUUGUAGUUUUAUAUAAAUUUUAGUUGAAUAAAUUUUAGUUGAAUUAUAUUCUGUUGUAGGUAAAUGAAUUUUUACUUGCAACAUGCUGUGUUGGGCUACCAUGGUCUUUGCCUGUUAGACUAUUUCAAUUCUGACAGAAGUGUGUUGUCUAUUGGUGACAGUGCCUCCACUUCUUUUGUACUGUUCUUUUUAAUUUUUAUUGUUGGAUUUAGCAUGAAGAUGUCUGGUGAAUAUUGUAAAAACUUAAGGGCAUCAUGACCACAUCUAGGACAAGAGAGAAGAUUCUUAAGUUCCUAAACAAGUUGUUAGACAUUAUAAUCGGAUUUGGGUGGCUGCAGUUUUGUCAAUAAAAUACAUUAUACCUCCAUCUUACAUAAAUCCAAGCACCAUAUUAUGUGAUCAGAAAGCCCACUGCUUGAGUUGAAGAAUUACAGCCUUAUUAUUUGAAUGCACUUGUUUGGCAAUCAACUUUACAUGAUAAUGAGAUAUUAUUUCCUUUCCAUGAUUCUUCAAUCAUGAGCCUAAUCCUUUACUUGUUUUUUGUCAGGCAAAGUUGGGGUUCACGGUUUGAUCUUCGUGAUUCCCAUUUUCUCGCCAUAACUGCUGCAGAGCAGGAGUUACUAAAUGCAGAAUAUGAGGAUUAUGCAGCUGCAAGUGCCAGUGGAAUUGCCUGUUGCCGCACUGUUGCUUUAAUUGUAUGCUUUAUUGUUGGAUUACAAAAAGUAUAUUUUACUUGUAGCUACGAAGCAUGGAAGUUAAAAUGGUUUGUGGUCUUUUACAGUUGAUGCUUUUGUUGCUUGUUCGACAAAUUUUUAAUUCAUCGAGGGAAGUUGGACUGAUGCAGGACAUAUCGGCAUUGUUCAAUGUAAGAACUUUUUCUAUCUUUUGAAAUAUCAAUGUUAUGUUUUAGAACUUACUGCCAAAGUGUCUCUUAACAUGAAGAAUCACAUUGCUCACUUCCUUUUUUCCCCCCAACUAGAAUAAUUUCUAGUAGGAUGAAAUCCUACAUAGACAACAGUCUAAGUCCGUCCUGUACAUAUUCCUUAUGGAAACUGAAAAAAUAAUUUAUAUAUUUUAUUUCCUCAAAGUAGAGUUGCAGUGAAGUUGCGUUUCAGUGUUAUUUUAGGUGUUUGGAAUGGUAGUUCUUCUGUUCAUGUGCACUAGGAAAUAGGUUAUGGUUCUAUUUUUGUUUCCUACGAGUGCCGGCUACUGAACAAGAGCAAGAUGCUAUAAAUAAUAAGUCAGAAGAUGAUCAUUUGAGAUUGAAUUCUCUGACCUUGCAAAAUCUGGUGCCAUUGAGGUAAUGAUCUGUGUUGGUGCAAGUUAUGUCAUGAAUGCAAUUCAAAUGUUUAUUAUGGUUUCGUAUCCCAUUGCUGUUAUAUUUUUUGCUUGAGAAAUCUAAAAUCUAUGGUCAUUUACUUGCAGGUAUCUCUCCAGUUCGUUGGCUUUUUCCUACCGUGCUAUGUGAUCGCACGUUCCUGCUACUUUAUACAAAGCCGUAGGAGGCGGCAGGUAUGCUUUAAAUAUGUUGAAGUUCUUGGAAAAUUUGGUGUGUCGAGACAUAUGGGUCAAAGUAUGUCCACUCUUAUGCCAUAUCAAGGGUGUGGGUCAACAUGUAUUUAGCAAUGUGAUAGGUUUGCAAUGUAUGACAUAGGAUCUCACCCAUACCGUACUGGCUGGCAUAUACCCUUUUGCACUGGAACUAGCAUCGUACUAGCACAUCAAAGAUGACUGAUGCUUUUAUGUUAUUAUUAUUUGCUAAAACACUGGAUUUUCUGGAUAAAUGCAUACCUCUCAGUAUAUUGAUAAGCCUUAUGGUGUAAAUUUUAAAGCAAUGGAAUUUUUUCUGGAAGUAUGUACACCUGAGAAUACCUACGUAUUCCUCAAUUUAGAUUUUGAAUUAGUACCAUCCAGGCUCCAACUUAUCACAUAUUCAUAAGUAAAGCCCCAUUCAUUUGACUUGUCUGAUACUUAAAUGACAUGGAUUAAGUUCUUGCUUCAUUUAAUGCAAGCCAGGUUAUUGACCAAAUUGCUGUUGUUUUGCAUGGAGGAAAAUUGAAACUUGGCAAUGUUAAUACAUGAGUAGAAGAGCAUUCCUGCAAAUUCAAAUAACGCAGAUGGUACUAGUGGUGUGCAAUCACUAAACUAAUGACAUGUUAAUUGUGGAAAAUUACUUUGAGGAAAUGACAUCUAAACAAGGUUAAUCAUCCAGAUUUAUAAAGUGGAGGUGGUGUAAAAUGGUUUAGACUGCAACUCUUGUGGAAUCUGGAUUUAUUGAUAGUGUUGCUCUUAUCUACUGGUUUUUCGUGAGAGUUAACGUGCCACCUUAUUAUUUCUUUGCAGGUCUAGGAGUUUGUGGUGAAUCAACUUGUUUCAUGCAACAUGCAUCAAAAGGAGAUCUCUCAUUGUUUUCGGAGCUAUGAAGCUCAUCUCCUUUUUUUUCUCCACCUUGAUUGCCAGGUUAUGAAAUCAUCAAAAAAAUUGAUGGUCUGGGAAAGAAUGUGAUUUGUGUUCCAAUGUGAAUGCAUUGGUUGUGUUAAGAUAUCGAACAACAAAUCCCUUAGGAAAAUGUAAAUAUGAAACUCUCAUGUCUUUUGGUUGUGCAUUUUUGUCCUGCCACAUCCCAGAAGUGGGUUUGCUCUACAAUUUUCUUGAAAUGCAGUAUCCUCCAAUAUCUGUUAUGCUCAAUGUGAAACCUUUAUGUGGCAACCUGAUCCAAUCUCACAAUAUUAGCACAUUUUGUAAUAUUGCUGGGGGUUUAACAUUUUCUAAUGCAAGGUCUGUCAUACCGAAGCGUACCGCUCAUACCAGGCGGUAUGUACCGGUCCGAUAGGUUACCGGUACGUAGAUCGUCCGGUACCGGUACCGUUAUAGUGCUACCGUUAUAGCAUUGCUACAGUAUAAAAAAAAGGAUGUACCGUUCGAUACGUCUUAAUGUAUCGCUCGGUAUACCGGUAUUGUAUCGAGCCUGGGUCGAAAUGUUGGUAUAGCGAACUUUGCUCACAUGCACUAUCUUUUUUACUAUUUGGAUUAAAUGACACUCUUCAAGUUUUCCAAAGUGAUUGCCUCUUUCUUGCUUAAGAUUUGAAGGAACAACUUGCUCUAUGGAUUAGUGUGAGAUGAAAUUGACGAUUAUACUCUAGAUUGAUGGCUCAAAGUCACAUUCAAUAAUUUAUUUUCAUCUAACUCAAUAAAAGAUGAGGAUUUAUAUUUCAUCCAAUAAAUUUGUGAAAAUAUCAGCUUGUUGAUAUUUUCACAAAUUUAUUGGAUGAAAUUUAAAUCCUCUUUGCCACUAACCUAAUAAAGAGUCCAAUGAAUUUGUGAAAAUAUCAGUUAAGUUAAAGAACUUGACUAAAGAUGAGGGUUCAAAUAAAUUUAGAUCUUGACAACAUGGAGGAAGGUUUUGCGAUUGAAGUCCAUCUUUGUCACUACCUAUAGAAAGAAAAACUUGCUCUCUAAAUCCAUAUUAUCUAAAUUAAGAGUCGUUUUCUCCAUAACCUAAUACAUAAUUUAUUUGCUAAAUACACAAAUGCUCAGGUUUAAAUGAGAGUGACGGCUUUAUUUAUAGGUCAUGAAAGCCAUGACUUUGGCCCUACUGAUUGAUAGUAAUUCCCAUGUAAUUCUUUCCCUGCUUCUCCAGUUAGGCUUCCACCGCUGAAAGAUUUUGGAUCAACGAGUGUAGAAUGCACAUCAAGCACGGGCAAGAGUACACAAAAAAAUCUUGUAAUAUUAUUUCCUCUCUGUGUUACCUACCAUGGCCAUCUUAACACAUGCAUCCAUUAUUCUAAAAUUUAGAACUAAAUUUAUUAACAAACUAUGGCUUAAGCCAGCAAGAUUAUCCAACAAAAAAAAAAAAUUAUCACAAUUUGGUUUAGCAGUCCAAUCAAAAUAGAUUAAAUUAAAAAGAGCAUCCUGCUACGGUGCUGCUUUGAGUCAUUCUAGAAUUAGAAUUGCAACCAAGAAGCAUAAGUUGCUGAACCUCAGUAUACAAAUGAUAACUCAUAGGAUGCGUACGAUACUCAUGAAUACUGAAUAAAAAGCAUUGCAGAUUUGGAAGAUGUUGAUUGCUACAAAAACAAAACAAAAAAAAUUACUGAUGUAGUUACCAGUGUCAUUCUUACUUUUAUAGUGGAAAUAUGCAAUAAAUCUUAUGUAAUUAUUGAAACUCAAAGAGCUGGUGAGUGAAGCAUGUAAACCCGUCGUAUGUCCUUUGUCGAUGCCAAAACUAUGAUGUAUGGAACCUUCAGCUUACAGAUACGCCAGGCUUCACUUUUUCUUUUAAAAAUUGCUGAAUGUGUUCACGUUUCCAGUUGUCGAUUCUGUUAAUGCACAGAAGAAAUAAACAUAAGUAAUACAUGCAUCGCAUAAAAAGCAAAGCAGACUUUGUUUCUGCAUAAAAUUGACAGAUUAAUAUUUAUCACCGCUAUGUACAGAUGAUAAUUUAGAGAUCCUCAAAUGGCUAUAUAUACACCUACAAGAAAAUACUCAGUGUAGGGCAUAUGCCAACAUCAUAGAGUCAGUUUAAAGUCUGCCAAAGAUUAGCUGAAUUGCUUAGGAAACUCCAAGCAUCAUACCUUUCAUCUAGCCAAAAAAAUCAGCAAUAACCUGGAGUUCUGGAUGUACUCAUGAAACCACUAAAGUGGAUUUGGAUAUAAGGAUUUAGGUUCCAAUAGUUUUGGGCGUAAUGGAAAACUGUAAGGCUCCCAAUAAGGCAAGUAAAAAUUUGAAACAAGAACCAAAUUGCACUUUCGGAUUGAUUGCCAGUUAGUCAAUGAUGAUACAUUUCCUGUCAGAUAAAUGGGAACUGUCUAUAUUAAAAGGAAUAAGAAGCAGAAAAACAAUUUACACCAAUUAUAAUAGCUUACUUGACAGUAGGGGAGAACACACAACUGCAAAAAUAUUAGUAGAAAGCAUAUUCAGUAACUCUUGUCUGCCCUUCUAGUCUAGCCUUUCCUGGUGCCAUUAAUGAUUAUGAUCACAGUCACACUUAGAAACCACAAAUUAAAUUCUCUUCCUCUUUUGUAGUACAACAACAAGAAUGACUGCGUUCAUACCAUCAUAAUAGACACAAGGUCCCUCCAACUUAAAUCAAGACUAGUCAUCUUUGAGAUGAUCCCUCUUCAGAAGGCUAAAUUACAACACUUAAGUACAUAUAGUCUUCAGAUUGGUGAAGUUCGACAAGGUAAAAUUAAGUGGAAUGUGGAAUAUAGAGUGCAAAAUCUAAGGCAGGAAAGUAAAAAAAACCAUGGGUCAGAUCUGCGCUAUAGGUACCAGCCAGAGUUUACUGUGUCAAGGCUGACGAGGCAUGGGACACACAUGUCAUGCCAACAUAUAGCUCAGCACAGAGUCAGUGAUGGUGCAUGGUAGGGCACAUGCACAACAUCAGUGCCGGUACAUAGUACAUUCCAAUGGUUGGGCAUCAUGGAGAGAGCAACUGACACUUUAAUUAUUGCAAGAAAGCAUAUGAAAGAAAUGAUGGAAAUUGUACAAAUGCAAGAGCAAACUAUGGCUUUGAAUCCUCUCAUGUUCAUUAGUAAAAAAAUCUCAGAAUAACUUAAAAUGGUGAAAUUACCAUAUGCCAAUAUUAUAUAAUGUAGUAAAAUCUCAAUAUUAUUAUGCAACAGAUGAUCUCUCAAAAAGAGUUCAAGGGGCACAAAAAAAAUUAAAGAAGCAUUCUUAGAACUGACCUUAUGGUUUCCUUUUCAUUACCCUCACUGUCCAGCAUGAUAAGUUUCGGUGGGGAUGCAUAAGCAUAUUUGAAUUUGACAUAUGAGAAUUCAUCUUUCUCUUCUUCUAUAAAUGCUGCAACUUCAGGAUAGAACAUCAACUUCCUCAUGCAUACCUCUAAAAUUGCACCCGAGAACGUAACCUGCAGUUGUUUCGAAGUUAGCCACACUUCAAUUAAUUGAAGGAGAAUUUGCAAUUUUUCCACCGAUCCAUCAUGUUUUGCUGAUUUUAGGAGAAAAAAGAUGCAUGACUACUAUUAGAUUUGCAAAUUCUAAUUUUAUUCACAAAUUAGACUUUAUUUUCUACAAUAAUCUCGUGCCUAUAUCACAAUUUUUUAUUCACAAAUUCCCAAUCAAGACUGUUCAGUCUUGAUAAAAUGCUACAUAGCACAGAGAAGAAUGAUUCUGAACUUUCUAGAUUUGCUUUAAAGCUCUUAUUUAAACAUCAAAUGGGGUGAAAUUCAUUGUGUAAUAGUGGCAUAUUAAACUUAUUAGAUAAGUAUAAGUAUUAAAGCCUUGUGAAAAAGCUCUAAAAGAAACAAUUCACUACUUUAGACAAUAGUGAAUGGCAUUAAGAGGAAAACAAUAGUUGUUCAAAGUUCCCUUCAUAUAGCAGACAACAAUUUGCCCAAUCUCAGGGUACAUCUACAGUUCUACUAACUGGGUUUAACCCCUCUUCCUCCUCUAGAAGAGGUUCCAUGUUCAAAUCUUGCUAUGAUGUCAACUUUUCUAUUCUUCUUAAAAAGGCUUCUCAGGUUACACCAAGAUGAUUCUAUAUGUACCACCAAACAAACAAAAAACUUCUAUUUUCUCAAAAAACAUAAUUCAAGAUUCGCAAUAAUUCAACUCAUUCAAGGAAUUUAUUACAGAGAGCAUAGUCAGUAUCAGAUUACCAGACUUGUUACAGCAUAGUAAUAUCAUCAAACAAGUCCUUGCCUGUGAGACAGUAUGAAUUACAUGGAGGCAUAUCUAGUAAGGAGAACAUCAGGUAACAUCCUGCCAAGUGACCUAUGAUGCCAUUGCAUCUAAAUUGUCAUGAUAUAUAUGGAAUAUAUUUUAAUCAUUCAAUAUUAAGCAUCUAGAGACCACUCCGUUGUAGCUACAAGCUUCCUCAUCAAUUUGAUACCACUUUAUACUAUGCAACCUAACAUGAAGCUUAGCUCACUAGGUUAGAGCGAAAAGAUUGGUUCCAUUGAAUGUGAAUCAUCUGAGGAACAUUAAACGAUCAAAAGGGAAAAUAGGCAAGAAAUGCAAACAAAAAAUAAAGUGCAUAUUCAAUUAAUGGCUCAAGCCUCACAUUUGUCAGGUUUGAGGAGCAAGAUGAUUAAUCUGUACCAUGUACCUUACUUAAGGAAUCGUCGGAAUCCUCUGAGCAACAUUUACGACAAUCUGAUACCAAUUCUGCAGUCAAAAUUUAAUGAAACACUUAGCAAAUCAUCUUUCUAAAGCAUCUGACUUCAUAGGAUUUGUUUUACUGAUAUUUUAAUGCAUAUCAGUCAUCGUGUAUUACAUGUCACUAGCUACAAUUUUGUGAAUUGAGAUAGUACCAACCAAGGAUUGAAAUAUCGUACCGUGCCCGAGUUUCGACGUUCGCUUGGUAUGGUACGAUACUGUAUACCGAGCGAUAUACCGCUCGGUGUAUAUAUAAAUAUAAAUAAAUAAAUAAAUAAAUAAAUAUAUAUAUAUAUAUAUAUAUAUAUAUAUAUAUAUUCCAUUCCGUCAGGUAAUGAGCGGUUCAUGUACCGAUUAGCUGAUGGACUGGUACAUACCGUCCAUACCGAACCGUAUUAUUCGAAAUUAUAUACCUUGUGCAUGUUUGGUAUGUGUUUUAAUUUACUAAAAGAGGAGGGUUGAGUUAGACAACUCAUAAUCAACAAAAUACUUUCUUAGAUUUUAUGACCAUGGAUCACUAAAUCCAACCGUCCCACGUCCUCAGCCAAAAAAUAAACAAUGUAAUAAUCACCAAAAGGCAAACCAAUUCUAACUGUCAAAACAAUCUAAUCUACAGGUGAUACAUGUAAAAAAGAAAGAAAUCAGAAUGAUAGAAAACAUGCACUUCAAGAUCGCAGCAGAACCUAGGGUUUGUUCUGAUCUAUGUUUUCGACAUCAAGAACCGACUAAAAGGAAGAAGGGGAUCGAAAGAUGCACGCGAAUCCGCAGCGCGGGUACGAAUCGGGGGCGAGAGAGAGAGAGAGAGAGAGAGAGAGAAGAGGUAAGGGCCUAAUCGAGACGAGGAGGAUGUACCUUUAUCCUUGACGUACUCGCCGAGGGUGUUACAAUCGGAGCAGAGGGCGAGGCCCGUGAACCCCAAGUCCUCGCACUCCUUGGCCCCGAGGCGCUCUCCAAGUCCAAGGAUGGCGCCGGCGAGCGAAAGGACGAGGAGACAACGCAGGGCUGCGGAGUGCGGAAUCAUCUGUCGCCCGCUCGGCUCGCUCCUGAGCAUCUUUACCCGGCGUCUCAGAUGACGGUUAUGACGGGUAUAAAAGACAACCUGAAACCGUCAUAAUCCGAUAUAUUAUAUAUAACGUAUCGUCAUAUGCUUUCAUAACAUAUUAUCAACGUUUAUAACGUACGUUGUAUUAAAAAGUCGAACUUAAGUCAUAUAACGUACCGUCAUUUGCUUUCAUAACAGACUACAGUGAUGGGAAGAGGAAGCAAGGAACAGAGACGAGCGAAGGAGUUAAGAAGAAGCAGGAUGGGAAACGUUCGACCCCCUCGGUUGGAGGAAUAAAAGAAGCUACAAGUUCUGGUUAGUGUUCUGAAGCUGAUGAUUAAGAUCAGUGCAAAGGUAACCCUAUUUUUGUAGGAAUGAUUGAUGAACUUUGCAGUGAAACUGAUGAACAAAAAUCACAGGUAAUCUUGUUGAUUUCCUAGUGAAAAGGAAUAGUUUACCGAAGAGAUGUCAGUGCAUGCAGUUUCAAUAGGAUCUCUUCAAACUUGAACAAAUUGAAACUGAGUCAAAAGAACUACACAGAACUAAUUAUCUAGUUUGCAGAGCAAAGCAUUUGUCUUGAGUAGUUGAGCUGUGUGGCUGAAUGCUUGAGAAGAAUUUAGACAUCAAAUGCUAUGCUUCAGAAUUCUAUGAGUUUGCUGUGGUUGACUACCACCUGCAUCAGCACAAGUACCACCUGGCACUAAAUUUGACCACAAGAAGACUUUUUUAUAUGUACCACAUACUGUUCAAGUUCCACAAAAACUUGUCAUCAUAUGGAAAGCAAGAUUUACUUCAUAUAAAAAAUGAAGUACAUGGGCAAAAAUUAGAUCAACAAUAUUAAGUCCUAUAGUAAAUUGCUCAUCCCUCAACACAAAAUCAAUGAAGGAAAGAAAUAGUACAUUGCUAUUAGAUCAAACUUGGAAGACUCAGAAAGGACUUAUAUUCAAUGUUGUAUAUUGUCAGUGACAAAAGAUGCCAUAGCCUACAGUGUCAUCCUAUCAACACUUGUUGAAAUUUAUCGGACUGUUUUGUGAUGUUGAUGGAAAAAAGACCUUUGCUUUCUGCAAUAACAAAACAUAGAGAGAUCCUUUGGGAUAUGGUGUAGUACCAUCCUGAACAGUCUAACAGAACAACAGCUCAAUACAAGUACAAAGGUUCAUUCAGCAAGAUAUGAGAAUAGAGUCGAAAUAUCAGACCCAUUUUUCUGUUCUCUCAUGUCAUCUUCCUUGUUUCUAAUAUCUCUAAUCUUGAAUUUGGCAUGCUACAAAUAUAAAACUCCCAUCUAUCGAAGAAAACUGAGAAAAACAGCUUCACCUUUCCCCUUCUGCCAAGAUGCUGACCAAAUUUCAUCAAGGCGACCAAGUCUUGUACACGGCAUACAUCAACAGCACUGGAAUCAUGAAGCAAUAAAUAGGGGAAUUAAGAAACGGGUUCAUGUCAUACGCCCUGACCAAAGCUCUGCAAUUCUGCAAUUAAAUUAAAAGGAAUAGUGAGUGGAAUUCGUUCACAUAGUCAACUGAUUACUAUAUUUUAGCUAUAGGACCGUUGUAAGUACAAGAAAUUCAAGUUCCACAAAAAAUAAAAGGUCCUACACCUUGUCUCUGUGUUGGAGGCAGAGGUCAAAACACAAUUAUAUUAUUAGUUUCAUAUAAACACUUUUUUUCUUUACGAAAUCCUAGUUCAACAAUUUGCAGCCAGAUGGGCCUGGACCAACAAACCGCACUUAGAGAACAAGUUAGUCUUCAAGAAUUGGAACAAAUAAAGAAUAAGACAACUUUACCUUCCAGUGCUUCCACAAAAUGACUGCAGUAACAAGAAAAAGAAACUUUCUAAUCCAGCGUCGACGCCAUAUGCAAUUUGAAUCACAAGAACUGGCAUUUUUUGUCUGCCCAUAGUUAUGUUCCAAAGAAUCAUCCUCCUUUUUCCCUGAGAGCAAGAGAUGGUACUUUCGAUAUGUUGUUCGUUCUGCAGCCAUUGCUCCAAUAACUAAAAUAGUUGGUAAAACAACAAAGCAAAGAUGAGGUAAUACCACGACCAUGACAUCAGGUACCCCUAGAUACUGGAGCAUAGUGUUUUUGUUAAAAUUUGGGACAAACCAACCUUGAUAAGUCAUAUAAGCCACAAUGCCUCUUUCAGUGAAAACAUGUCCAAAGAACCAAGGGAAGAAUAACAAGUAAAGCAAAUACAUAAGGAUACCAAACCAUACUACAGUCAUCCUAGGGAGUUCCAUCAAAGCCAAAAAUGCGCCAUCAACUAAAUGUUCCCUCAGACUCCUUCCAGCAAAAUUAGGUCUGACAUACUCAUAUGAGUAAUUCUUCUUCCAGCACAGAAGUAAAACUUGUGGAACAAGAAGUAAUGAGGUCAGAAACAAGAGGGCAGACCAAAAAGCAGGCCAGUAAAUGGAGGCCCACUGGCAACCCAUUACGAAAAACUCUCUCCAUGUCCAACUAACUUGUGCAGUGAGGCCAUUAAUAGAGAAUGGCCUUGAGUCACUGUAACUAGUUUUGCCAAAAAUGUCUAUUGCUUCUAUUUGCAGCCGAUAGCGGCUAGGAGAUGGGUCUUCAAAUGCUCUCCAGUUCCAUGGAGCAACAUACAGGUCUCCUCUAGAUCCAUUCCCUUCAAUCUUUCUCAUGGAAGAAUCUAGUACCACAGUAGGAGUUUCAGGCCGUGUAUCAUAUACCUUUACUGAAACUAACACAAUCUCAGUUCUUGAAAAUAUCAGGGUUCUUAUCAGCUCGUAAGAUGAGCCUCUCUUCGGCUGACAUUUGAAAUCAUGGACAGAUGAAAUUCUUUGCAUGAACCUUGAGUCCAAAGGAAAAGUAGGUAAUAUAAUAGUCUCCUUGGACCCUAAUCUGAAAUCUAAAUCAACAUAUGAUACAUGACCAGAAUCAAUAGCCAAUAUUCUCAUAGCUCUACUCCAUCUCCAGUCGCCCAUCUCCCAUUCCCAAAAUUCUUUGCUGGAAUUAGUACUUGAACAACUCUGUUCAUCCAUGUUAGUUGGAAAUCCUUGAUGAAUGUUGAACUGAUAAUACUUUGUUGGAUGAUUUGAUUGAUGAUGUCGUUUUAAGUUCUUGCCAAACUUCGUAUGAAGAUGCCCACAGAGAUAAGCCGACAAGGAGUGCUUAAGGAACACAUCUUUAAGACCUUGUCCAUCAUCUGUUAAUGCUGAAAAAGACAAAGGGAAGUGCCCAAAGGCAAUUUUUGUUAUCGUUGAUUCAGCAUCCCAUUGUGAAAGCUCCAAGUCUAUGUUUGCAAGUAAUUGGUUUGUUGGAUGCCCAAACAAGUUUGUUGGGCCACGAAGACCAGUUUCCAUUGUACCAUCAAAGCCAACAAAAAGAUGCUUCCAUCCACCAUUCUGCAUAUGAAUUGAAAUUUCUUUAUUUAGAGUUUAGGGGGAAACAUCCAUAUAAAUAUGUAGGUAAGAUGUUAUCAAAUUUUAUGCUGUCUGAAUGGAUAAAGGUACAAAACCAACAUGUUUAAAUAUCUAGAUGAUUGAUAUCUUGCAAAUAUAUGGAUAUUCACUAUGUUCCAUGUUUUCAAUAGACUAAUUAGUUAAAUUUGUGAGAAUAAUAUCUCCUAUGUUGUGCAGAUGGGAGACAACAGAGCUAAGCCAUGAACGGAACAUGAGGAAUCUCAAGAAACCAGUGGAUUCAUCAAUCUGCAUAUGCUCAUGACAAAAGUAAACAGGAAAAGAGUGACUCAAAGGUGAUGAUGAAUGCUGAUAAUGAUGAUUAGUCAACAAACCUGCAAUGUGAUGCUUUGGACGUUGCCAUCACGUCUUAAUCUUGCAUUUAUACUGUACUUUUGAUAGUAGUCAUAAGCACCACCAGCCUUUGGUACCCCAAAGCAAUCAUGAUUCCCUCUGAGGUCAUAAAAGAUUUCCUUGUUAAGUCCACUUCUUUGAAUGACAUUGUCAAGAACAUUCUGGUACUCUAUCCAUUCUACCUCAUCUUGUUUCAUGGUUAAUAAAUCUUUGCUUUUUCCAUCUGGGAUAUACAUAGAUACAAAUAUGCUCUAGUUAGAUAUAGCAACUAUAUUUUAAAUGUUAAAAUCCUAAUUUGUUUACUUAAAAAAAUGCAGGAGUUCCUACUCACUCUUUCUUAUAUUUUCAAUUUGUUUUAGGUUUCUAACAUGACACUGAAAUCAAGUCACAAUAAUACAACAAGAAAAUAGAACAGAAUAUGGGUACCAAAACAUCAACUCUCAUAUCAUUUACUUAAAAUUUCAAAUCACCAUGCUAAAGAAAAUGUUUUUGCAUGCAGAUGAAUUGACAUUCUAAAACCUUCAAGAGAUGUCAGGUUAACAUCAACAAAACCCCAAAAUCGAACUGAACCAAACUAUUCAAUACAGUUCGACACAUGUUUUUCAGAAAUUGGGUUUCUUUCCAUCUUGAAUAUAAAGGAACUGAGUUAUUAAUUCUCUACUGCUGGAUCUAUAAAAUCCAGCUUGUCCUUAUUAAAUCCUUGCCUCCCAUCCUACAUCUCCCCAAGCACCAUGAGCUUUCUCUCAUUGUGUUCCCUCUCCCCACUCUUUCCCCUUUCUUUCCCAUCGACAAUCUUGCCAAUCUCCAGAAAUCCUUUGUCCUGUGUUGAGGUUUCAACCAACCAUCUUCUCUUCAUCUUCUUCAGAAGAAGAUGGGCACAUGUAAAUUAAUCAGUGAAGAACUUAUUGGUAAUUUUGAUACAUGAGGGAUAUAUUAUGGCUUUGUAGCAGAUAUAUUAUGUCUUCUUCUUGUUAAUUUUCUUUUCUUUCUUCAAUUUUCCCACUCACUCAUUUCUGCACUUCAUGAUAUCCGAUACCAAGGAUGACAGGUUUUGACAAUGCCAUCUUGGGCUAACUGGUGCAUACAUGUGCAAUAUGUGCCCUUGUGGAGUAUCAGCAAUGCCCCACUGGACCAGGUGAAAGAACUUCUGUUUUCUUUAUUAUUCCUAGAAGUUUCUUCCAAUAAAUUAAUCUCAAAAGAAAGUUCCACCCAUUAAGCAAUUUAACUGACUGACUGAAAAUGGUCCAACAAAGUAAUGCAAAUGAGCCUCGAUUGUCAACAUAUACCGAUCAACAGACUGAGCUCAGUUUUACUGGAGUCCUGACCACUAGAAAAAUCAGAACCAAAGGAACUAGUCCUGUGUCAUGUCCUUGCUUCUUAGCUCUUGCUGCAUUUAAUGUUUUUUCCAAUAUCCCAUUCGUUGUCAACCGCAACAAUUUGACAUUUUUGAGGGGUUAAAUAUGCAAUACUUUUCAGGAACCAUGAUGUUGAGAAAGGAGCAUUCACCAAUUUCACUAAUAUGUUGAAGAAAGAAAACACUUAGUCUGAUCUAUAUAUCGUGCCAUAAAGAUUACCCCAAAGGGAGAUAGCACGUUCAUAUAAGCAAAUAUAGGCAAAAAGGACCCGAUAAGCAUGAAUUCAUGAUGAACCACAAAUCAGAGGAAAGGUAACUCCGAUGGCUAUUCACAAUCAUCAGGGUCAAGAAAGAGAGAGCAAAUUUCACCCAGAACGAAACGGAACAACCAUCAAAAUGACAUUUAUUCCCCAAACUGGAAGCAGAGAACAAAUUCAGGAAAGAUCCAAAGAGCAUACGAAACAGAUCAUUUGAAAGAAGAAGUCACCGGUGAGGUCGCCGGUGAUGAGGACGAGGGACGGAUUAAUCAUAGCAAGGGCGGGGCCGACGUAGCGCCGGAGGUCGUAGGCCCUCUCCGGAUGGUGGACGCUGAAGUGGAGGUCGGAGAGCUGCACCACCCACACCACCGAUUUGGGCUCCCCUUCCACCUCGAUCACGUUCCCCCCCGGCUUCCUCGUCCGGCUCUCGGCCUCGGACUCGGGGGAGGAUCGAGAGACCGGAAGAACCAAUAUUGCUACGAAAACCAUGACGAGGAGGUGGAGGAACCACCAUUUAGCCACGUCCAUGGCGUGGAAGGAUGUGCGAAGAAGACGAAGAUGGCCAGCAACAGAAGUGGGUUAGACCAAAGAGAAGAUUUUGGACAGAAUGAGAUCCACAAUUGAAGCAAUGGAAGCCUUCCUGCGUUGACAUGGUGGGAAGUGGAGAAGGGGGCAAGCAGGAGGCUUCGCUACAGUGGCGGCAUGUCUCAGAUCAACCUAAUGGAUUGUGAUGAUGCAAUCUCUGCCGUUACAUCUGUAUUUGAUACGGCAGUGUAUACGUUUACAAGUGCGUGCCGACCGGUACUUUCCGGUCCGGGUAUGAACCAGUACGCGGGCCCUACCUUUUUCAGAUGGUCCGGUCCGGUCAUCCAAGAAAUUAAGCGCGUCUCCGCUGAUCGUGGUCCAGCCCCAAUCGCGAGCGGAGCCUCGUCCGCUCCCCUUCUCUUCCGCAGCUGCCGACGACGACGACGACUACCGGGUAAUAUCCUAUUCUCUUCUUGUACUAGUUAAAAAGUCUUAAUGGAAAUUGAAUGAUAUAUGUUGAUUAUACCAAUCUUAACAAGAUAUGUCUAAAGAUAACUAUCCUCUCCUCAUAUCGUUCAAUUUGUUGAUGCUAUUUAAGGCUAUGAGCUUCACACAUUUAUAGAUACAUUCUCGGGAUAUAAUCAUAUAGGGAUGACACUAUAUGAUUGAGAAUACAUCUCUUUUAUCAUUGAUCAAGACAUAUAUUAUUAUCAUAUCAUGUUAUUUGGGUUAAAAAAUAUAGACGUAACAUAUGAUGAACAAAAUAUUUAAAUAUCAGAGAAACACUAGGAUCUAUGUAGAUGAUAUGAUUAUCAAAAGCAAAUGAGCGGAUUCAUAUUUGAUAGAUUUUGUCGAGACAAUUCAAAUUUUAAUGAGGUCCAAAAUACAUCUUAACCCAUCGAAAUGAGGUUCUAAUGUUCAAUUGGUAUGUCAUUUUCUUUUUGCCUUUGUUUGUUUCUGGAAUAUAAUGAUGGUCAUUCCUCUCCUGCAUCUUGAUCACACUUGCUACUGCUAGUAAUCGUGCCACUCUUUGCCCUCCUUCCCCUUCUCCUUGCUCUCGUCUCCUCCUUCGUCACUCAACCCAUCCUAAAUGAGGUGUGGUGUGCUAUGACAGGAUUUUUAAAUUCGUUUGCCCUCCUUCCCCUUCUCCUUGCUCUCGUCUCCUCCUUCGUCACUCAACCCAUCCUAAAUGAGGUGUGGUGUGCUGUGACAGGAUUUUUAAAUUCGUUUAUCCACUUUUACGUUGAAACUGAGCUGCGGCUGACUUAUAAAUCCCAUUGCAGGAAGGAUGAGGUUUUCGUCUUUUCUUUUCCCCGUUCUUGAUGUUGCAUAAUAUUUUGAUGCUAUUAACCUUUUCCUGCUUUGUCUCGGUCAAUGACUUACCCGUAUGUGAUUCUUCGCGCUUGCCUGCGUCUUUGAAUUCCGUUUCAAACUGUUCUUAUUAUCCCUCGUCAUGCAUGUGGCACUAGCGAAGCGUUCCGUCGUAUGCUUUUGUCGAGGGUAAUAUUUUAAUAUUUAUAUUUUAAAAAACUACAUCGGUAUUCUUAUACUUAUGAAAACUAAACAUUUAAUCUCGUCUCUUCUCGUAUUGUUGACUUUACUAUGAGCAGAUAGCAAAAUAGAAAAAAUGGGAUGGUGUAAGAGAUGACAUCGUGGUUGGGUAGGUCGUACGGAGAUAGCGGAGUUGGAGAGGAGGAUAGUAAAACAUAAGAAAUGAGAUGGUGCAUAAGAUGAGGAUCGUCACCACGUCGUCGUUGGGUAGACCAUUCGGGAGGAUAGCGAAACCUAAGGAGUGGACAAAGCCGACGGGAGAAUAGCAAGCUUUCAUAGAAGUUAUCAUUAUAGGAAAUUAAUAUAUUUGGAUGAUGAGAAUCGAAAUUAUUUUUUUAUCCUUAGCGUCAUUUUUGAAAGUGAUAACACAUACGAUAUCUUUCGUCAAUUGAAUCAACAACAUAAAAAAAAUUAAAUAUUUUAUUUUUAUAAAUAUAAAGAUACUAAGAUAACUUUUUUUAAAAAUCGAAUAUUCCCUUAUCGCAUUACAGUUAACGGAAGUCCUCUCCAUCGUCGGAUCGAAUCUCACAAGCGUGCGAUGCUCCCGGGGAAGACGAGUAGUGCGAAGUAACGCACACAAAGCAUUAGGAGUGCCUGAAGAAUGCUAUUAUAGUUUCACUAGACUCGUCUGAAGGUCGAUCACCGAGCCCCGGUGCUCCAUUUCUCAUUGUGUUCCUCUAUACAAUUCAAGACAGAUGACAAUUCACGAGUUUCAUGCGAGAGAAAGAGAUGGGAUAAGAAAAGAAAACACAACGUGCCAAGCUAAUAAUACCUUCAUCUAAUUUCCACACACGAAAGGUUGGGUAUUAGAAAUAUCAAAAAGCCAAAAGAAUAUAUAGUACUAGUGUUACUUACACAUACUCUGAACUAAGCAAAUACUAGCUAGCCCAUGCAUGCACAAAAUGUGAUUACAGUACCAAUCACACCAAAAUCUACAAAGAGACUCCUGGAUGACCAUUUAACUAAGAUAUGAAUCUAUGACAAAUCCCAGAGGAGCACCACGAAUACUUCCUCUGCGGGAAGGGGCCCGAUUCACCGUCAAUUGGACGUUGGGUGGUAUGUCGGUCUCAGAUGAAUGACCAGAAAUGCAGAGGGUUCCGGUAUCAUCCUGUUCCCAGUACACUUCCACCAUCAGUCCUCUCGGGUGCUCCGAUGAUUCUGUUCCUGGAAUCCCAACAAACCUAGCUCCUUUCGGGAUCUGCAUAGUCGCCAGCGGUGAGCAACGCUCCAAUUCUAGAUCUUUAAGUUUAGAAGACUAAAUGGAUUUACCAAUAUGACAAAACCAGCAACAACAUAAGGAUGAGAUACUUAUUUAAUAAUCUAAUCCGUUUGUACAACCUUCAAUUCUUAUCUUUCCAUCUUGUCAAUCAAACAAACAAAUCCAGUCCAUAUAAAUCUUUAAACAUAUACCCUACCCGUAGGGAACUUUACUGAUCGUUCCUAUCAAUUAGUCUGGAACCUAUCCUUCUUAAUUCUAGCAGACAUGUAUGCAGAAUUGCAACUAUGUUAUUCUGGCUUCUCUGUAUCGCUCAAUGACAUGACGAAUCUAAUAAGAGACUAAUUACUAAACUAAACCAUGCAGCAGAAAUACAGUUCCAUAACAAAAUCCUUAAAUGCUUUAGUAGAAUUCCUCACCUGAAUAGAAGGUCCGGAUGACAAGUUCAGAGUAACCAGAUUCUCCUCCAUGGAAGAGCUUUCCAGCUCAGCUUGUUUUGCUAUGUUUAGAAACACUUCCUCGAGGGUUGUUAGACCAAGUUGUAUGUCUGAAAUCCCAAAUUCUUCCUCUCUAUCUUGGAGCUCUGCAAAAAAAUCCUGCCACCAGAAAGGGAGCCAGAUAAGGGCCAUUGUAUAGAUCAGAAAAUGCAUCCAGCCAGCCAAGGUUGCAAAUAAAUUCAGAAUAUGGGAGCAUUAAGUUACCGUUAGAAGCCCCUCUUUUUGGUGGGGGAUGACAAAAGUUAAAAAUGUCAUGUUCUCUUCUUUAGGAUCCACAUCUAACCGCUGUUGAUUCCAUUCCUAUGUCAGGCUAUCUCCAGAAAACCAGAAAAGAAUCUUAAUUUAUAUUGUAUUGCACUUACAUCUUUGAAGAACUGCUUCACAGGCUCAAGGUGAGGAUUGCUUGUGGGUGCACUACCAUAAACGUUGGGAGUUUGACCAGGUGCAUUGCCAGGGAAACUCACAUUUGCAACAUAACCAGUCCCAAAUCUUGAUUUAAGUCGUAUAGAGGUUCCUAUACACCGCAAUUUUCCCUUAGCCAUGAUGGCUAUCCGGUCACUUAAAAUGUCAGCUUCCUCCAUGGAAUGGGUUGUCAAAACAAUAGCUCGUCCUCUUUUAGCAUCUUCUAUUAUGUCCCAGACAUGCCUUCGAGUGAUUGGAUCCAUACCAGUAGUCUGCAACAUAAGCCAACAUAACAAAAUUUCAAUUGAAAGACUUGGUGACAAAACAUAUGUACAACACUCUGAAGUGAGCCAUGGCUUUUCCCACCAAGGGGAAAUGGACAGUCUCAAUUGUCAAUCUACUAAAGGAUGUUAAUUUUAUGUGAAUAAAUAAAAUCUAUUAUGUGGAUGAUGCAUUACAAUAAAUUUACACCUAGUUAGUACUUAGAUUUGUCAACAUACUAUGGUACUAUUUAUCCAGUUGAUUAAUAUGCCUGGAACUGCAAGUAAAAGUUAAAAAAAUAAAGAGAUAAUUGAAUGAGCACUUUCAUAUGCCUUAAGACUCAUUAAAUCUAUUAUUUUGAAAUAGUUUAUUUAGCAAAGGAUCAAAAAAAUUAUCAACAACACAAAUAUCAAACAUUGAGUCAUUUUUAAAGAAAAUGAGAUAGCAUAAGAGAUUGCUCACAGAUUACCUUAUGACAGAAAAUGAGACAGCUAUUGCUGUACCUGUGCUUCUUAUGAAUUUUGUUUAUGCUCAUAAAUUAUCUAAAUUGUACAAAUAAAAUAGAUAUAACAAAUAUAUAAAGCACAAAUUUCUGUCUACAUGUUAUAUCUUGUUCUACUUGUAAGACUAGCUGUGUUUCACUGUUUUGGCAUGGGUAUGGUGUAUCGUGUCUAGUUCCGUGUCCAUGCUUCUCAUGGGUGGUUGGGACUCCCUAGCUCAUGUACCUUUAAUUUGCUUAUUGAUCACAUUUGUCUCUAAUCACUUCAGUAAAGUAGAAUGUUUACAGUAAUCUAAAGGAAGAGAGCGACAGAGAGACAAAAACAAGAAAAUUGUAGAUUCUUUUGGUCCUAAUAUUGUGUUUGUUAUUUAACUACAAGGAUUCCAGAAUUAGUUUCUGCAAAUUUCACAGCUUUGAACAAGCAACCUUCGUGAUUCCAUGCAAAUAUGCAUUCCUACGCAAGUGUUUAUAGAUUUCUUCAAGAAACUACGGUAGCAUAUAUUUAUGGCUAACUUUCAUCACAUACUGGCUCAUCCAAGAAAACCAUUUUUGGAUCCCCAAUGAGGGCUAUUGCAACACUGAGACGACGCUUCAUCCCUCCACUAUAGUUUCCAGAUCUAACUCGAGCAGCAGUAGUAAGUUUUACCUCUGCUAAUGACUCUUCAGCUACCUGCACCACCAUAUAGCAUAUUAUGAGAAGAAGAUACGUUGUUAACUUAGAGGAAUAAACCAUCCUGGCUAAAAAUGCUAUACGAAUCAUAUAAACCAUUUCCAGUUAAUAUAAGGUUUUUUAACUGAUAAAUAUUCAUUAAAAUUGUCAAUUUUAAACGUAGACAAGGGAUCUUCUUUGGUGAGAAGAGGCCCUUUGCCUGCCAAAAAAAAUUUGAUCUUAAAACUUAAUGUUCAUCAAUGCAGAUUAUAGAUAUUAUAUAGACAAAGAAGGACCAAAUGCUAGGAGGGUCUUCAGCACCCACCGAUUUUAUUGUUGAUGGAGGCAAACCUUUGAUACUAGCAAAUAAAUGCAGGUGUUCUUGAGCUGAUAAUUCAUCCCAUAAGAUAUCAAACUGGCAAAUAGAGAACCACAGACCAGACUUUAAUUAGUUUCCCUUUCUAAACAGUCAAAAGUAGGUAUUCGCUAUCUUAUCAACCUAUUAUUGGGAUGAAAUGAAGCAUACCUGGGGACAAACUCCUAUCAUCCUUCGAAUAUUUGACAUACCCACUGAGCUCCGAACUGAAUAUCCAUGAAUUAAUGCUGUAAGCAGAUAAAAUGACUUAGCAACAUGGCAUUUCUUCUGUUCACACAUAAUGGAAGGAUAGAUUAAUAACGCAAGAUUAUUCUACCAUCUCCUGCUGUAACCGGUGUAACACCAGUAAGGCAAUUAAUCACAGUGGUUUUCCCAGCUCCGUUAGGUCCAAGAAGGCAAAACAGCUGGUCUUUUGCAAGGUUUACCCAUAUUCCCUAAGUUUCAAUACAGUAUUAUGAAAUGUUCAAGCAAUACAUGCAUGGCAUCUAUAAGUUCUGGCACAAACUGACAAGUGAAAUGGUAAAAAGAGGAAAUACCUUGACAGCAUGAUAUGGUGAAGAUCUCUGGCACUUGCAACAACCAAUUUUCAUAGUUCCAGGAUAUGUUUUUGUUAGACCACGUAUUUGAACUGCAACAUUUGGAUCAACUUCAUUAGUAGCAGCUUGCUGCUUUACACUAGUUUCCUCUGCUAGGACAUCCUCAUCACUUGGAGUAGCAUCAUCCAAUGGUGGAAUUGAACCAGAACAGCUACAGAGACUACCUUCUGAUGUACAGAGAAUGAAUAUUUUAGAAUCCUCUGAAUUCAUACUACAUAUGGAGCAAUAAUAAAUUUGAAAAAUAGAAAAAUUGGUCAUACCUUCCACCCUGUUUCCAUCAUUCCCAGUCCAGUAUGAGGGAUUCAGAAAAUAAAACAUUGAUUUUCUCACACCAUUUGAGUUUGGAAUAAUAUUGUCAAAGUAAAUUGCCAAAAUGAACCACACAAAGAAUGUUGAUAUGAGCCAUUUAUAGAUAUCUUCCUGUUAAAUAUAUAUGAUUAUCAUCAUACCUAACCAUCAUAAAGAAGAUAACAGCAAACUUUACGCUCAGAAUGAACUCAUAUCAUACAAUAGUUAUAGUGCAGUCAGGUUCAUAUGUAGUGCAUUCUCCACGCCUGCCCCAACUAAUUCCUUCAUCUUCAGAAGUAGCUGUCUCAUUGCCUAGCAAGUCAAGAGCUUUGGCAAGAAGGUUGGGGGGAAAUAGAGACCAUAUAACUCGAUAGAGUUUUGUGAAGUUGCUAUCAUAUGGAAACCCGAAUACUGUAACAAGCUGUGGUGACAAGAUAUGUUAAUUCAAUUUUCAAUCUGUACAGUAAGAUGCAUUAUCAAGCUUGCGAUUAUCAAUAUGAAAACUUCACCUGAGUCAAAAAACCGAUUAUGAAUAUUGAGAACCCAACUGUAUUUGCUGAUGAUGACUUACUGACGAAGGCUGAUAUCAUAAAAGCAAAACUUAGCUGCAAAAAAUAGAUUGUGUAAGAUUCAAGGAAUAUUGGCACAAACAUGUAGAAUAAGCAAGGAAAUUUUGGAAAGAUGAUUCAUAUCCAAACUAUCCUAAUCAAAUGCCAUACAUAUGCUAGAGAAAAAAUUACCAUAUUAAGUUGGAAAAGGAAGAACAAGAGAAACAGAACAGCAAAACUGUUAUGCAAGAAAAAGUUGAAUUGAAACAUCAUCCCGAACAGGACUGUGAAAAGUGCUGCAACCACCGUCAGAAAAGCCUCCCAUGUAAACCAAGAAAGCCAAUAAGCAGAAUCAUAUAGGCCCAUUAUGGACAUAGCCUGCAAAUACUUAAAAGAAUGAAUCAUUAGCAUUUUGAAUUUGCAAGUAGGAGAGGUCAACAGAUGAAAACCUCAAGACCAAGAUAAGCAUUACAACCUGACGAAGUUUAAGUUCUUUUUCAGUGACCAAAGAGCUAAUUUGAAAUACAAAACCAAACAUGGCGAUCGCAAGGAAGAAGGUCGGUCCUGCAGUACCAACAGCAGAAAAAGUUUCUGUGGCCGGGUGAGCAAACUCCUUGAACCCCACCGUCCACUUAAAAUUUGGAUCUGCAGUAAGAAAAUCCUAAUAAGUAAUAGAAACAAAGUGAAAGUAAAUCAGCAAUCAAAUUAGUGAAUGAUAACCUACAGGAUUCUCAAGUUUCAAGACAUCAAGAAGGGCAUUGAGAAGUUUAUGACAGCACAGAAAGUCAUUUAAGAAGCUGUUUUUGCUUUCAUUUGAAGUGAUUAUCUUAUAAUACAUUAGCAGAUAUUUGUGUAUUACUGAAUUAAUGUCAACAAAUUCAAGCUUGCUCAAGAUAGAUGUAGUUAUAGAUUGAGUUUAGAAGCUACCAAGUAUGACUUAUCAAACAUUCAAAGAUCAGCAAACAGAAAAUGUCUAUAGCACCUCCAAUCAAGGAUCUAGAGAUUUCACGCUCUGCAGCAAUCUGAAGUGGGAUUUGAAAUUUGAAAGUAGGGUCCUCAUAGCUUCCUCGUUUGGCUACAGCAGUAGAAUUCGUCUGGAUUCCAUAGCUUAUGACAGUCGAAUUCCUCUCCACAAAAUGCAAAGCACCUGGGCACCGCAUAGGAUUGCUUUCAAGCCAUGCAUCCACUUCAGCUUGAGUUCCGAAAGAUUUGACCUAUAAUAUUGAUGUGUAGAUCACUUCUUUCAGAAGUACUAAAAAACAAUUACAAUGGCUAUCUUAAAUGUUUCAUUGGAAAAGAAAAGUGAUGGUGUAUCUAAUACAGUUGUGGGCUAACAAACUAGCAAACUUGGGAACACGUAUAUAAAGCUCAAGAACAAAGAACUGCAGCUUAAAGACAACAAAAGAUUGGCACAGAACAAAGCUAUUCUGGAGAGAUGGAAGACUAAAACAGUCUUCCCGGCUUAUGCCAUGCAUCAUAGUGUUUAGUCACAUUGACUACAAGACCAGUAGCAGGAGGAAGAUUAAAAUUUUGACUAUCUAUCUGGCUUACUUAUGCAAGAAAAACAGUAGGAAUGUGGAGAUUAUCAGCAUUUGAACAAUCAAAACCAUAGAUACUAGAAAAUACCCUGUCCUCGAGUCCAAAGGCAUAUUCCUUAAAUUACUACUAACUACCAAGAGAUUGGGAACAUUAAAUAUUGAUUAAAGGAAAAUAGGGAUGAAAGGGUGGAAUUCUUUAUUGAAUGUGAUGGAUUCUUAUAUACUAAACUUGAUUGUGCAAGUGUAGGAUAUGCCAUUAAGAAUGCAAGGGGAGGUUUGGUGGCUGCUGGAUGUACCAACUGCAGAGUUCAAGGUGCUAAGCAGGCUGACUGCAGAGCAAUCAGUGAGGAUCUUUAAAGGGCUGAAAGCAAACUGUGCGUCGAAUCAGGUGCCUUGGAGAUAAUUCAUUAUAUCAACAAUCAAAAGCCAUGGCCUUGGAGGUUGAAGAGUAUGGGAGAUGACAUUAGAAGAAUUAGUUCUAAUGUGAAUGUUAUAAGUUUUGUUUACAUUCCUAGGCAAUUUAAAUCUCCUGACCCAUAGUAUUGCCAAACUCAGUAGCAGAUUACACUUUCUUGCGUAUGGGAAGCUGAAGCUUCCUCAUUUUUGUGUACUAAUGCUUGUAUCGAACAAAACAGAGAAAAAGGAAAUCGAUGGCAGACCUACUGUUUUAUUCACUCAAUUCCUUCAACUUUAUAAAAGAAAAAUUAGAUAACGCAAUCAAGCUGUCCAGUAAUUAGACGAUAAAUACGGAUCACCAUGACUGCUGUUUUCGAUAGCACGUUUUCAGUAAUCUACUCGAAGAAAAUAAUAGAAGUUCCUUUCGAUUCCCUGCAAAGCCAAUUCGCCAAAGAACCAGUACUAUAACAAGGUAAAUCAGGAGGAACGGGUAGGAGAAUUUCCAAGGCCCUACCACCAGAAAUAAAUGAUAACAAGAACUGACCUUCUCGGCGGGGAUUUCCCUGCCGGGGUUAUUCUUCAUAAUGGCGGAGACGAUGGUGGCGAUGCGGGCGCUGGCGUUGCCGCUCCAGAUGAAAUCGUGGCAGGGGGUUUUGACGUAGAACUUGUCUUCGCAGGGGGGGAUGGGGGGCAGGAUGAGGGGCUGGGGGUCGUGGACGUUCUUGUAGGCGGUGGUAGAGGAGAAGCGGGACUUGACUGCCUUGUCGAUGCAGAAGAUGAGAAAGAUGAAGAAAAGGGAGGAGAAGAGCUGGAGGAAGGCGGACUUUUUGUGGCGCCACGUCAAGAUGAAGUUCUUCCUCAGCAAGGCCGCAUACUGUUGCGUGAUCAGGGGUACGCCGCUAUUCAGCUCCAUGGGAGGGACGAGAGAAGGCCCUUCUUCUGCCUGUUCCCUAUGCCAAGAACCGCCGGAGGAGGCGGCGAAAGUAUGGAGGGGGAAGCGUUUCACUUUGGACUUCGGAGGGGGAGGAGAUUACUGGAAGGGGCCAUUUAUAAAUGACUUCAUAAACAUAGACGACGGAGGGCUCUUUGGGUUGACUCAUCGCCGGGAUCGGGAUUGUGGUACGGGGCGAUCGCCGCAAGUACUUUCAAGUUGGAAUUUUCCAUGGCAUUGAUUGAUGGUACGCGACAAACCAACGAUUUCCGUAGGUAUUUGAAGCUCUUGAUUAAAACCCUGCUCAGUUUAUUUUCCUUCUUAGAUUCUUGAUUUGAGGGAGUGUUGGAAGGUGAGAUUUGGAUGAUGCAUUUCUUAACGAUGCACAUUUUGGAGUGAGAGUUUGGUUAAGAUAUCGAUAUUUCAAACCCCCAAAGAGAGGAAAUGUAGAUGGGGUCCAUGAAACUGGGGAGGUACCAAUUUGGGUAUUUGGCACAUUUGACACCGACUGCACCGUUUCUUCUAUUCUAUUCUAUAUAUAUAUAUAUAUAUAUAUAUAUAUAUAUAUAUAUAUAUAUAUAUAUAUAUAUAUAUAUAUAUAUAUNNNNNNNNNNNNNNNNNNNNNNNNNNNNNNNNNNNNNNNNNNNNNNNNNNNNNNNNNNNNNNNNNNNNNNNNNNNNNNNNNNNNNNNNNNNNNNNNNNNNNNNNNNNNNNNNNNNNNNNNNNNNNNNNNNNNNNNNNNNNNNNNNNNNNNNNNNNNNNNNNNNNNNNNNNNNNNNNNNNNNNNNNNNNNNNNNNNNNNNNNNNNNNNNNNNNNNNNNNNNNNNNNNNNNNNNNNNNNNNNNNNNNNNNNNNNNNNNNNNNNNNNNNNNNNNNNNNNNNNNNNNNNNNNNNNNNNNNNNNNNNNNNNNNNNNNNNNNNNNNNNNNNNNNNNNNNNNNNNNNNNNNNNNNNNNNNNNNNNNNNNNNNNNNNNNNNNNNNNNNNNNNNNNNNNNNNNNNNNNNNNNNNNNNNNNNNNNNNNNNNNNNNNNNNNNNNNNNNNNNNNNNNNNNNNNNNNNNNNNNNNNNNNNNNNNNNNNNNNNNNNNNNNNNNNNNNNNNNNNNNNNNNNNNNNNNNNNNNNNNNNNNNNNNNNNNNNNNNNNNNNNNNNNNNNNNNNNNNNNNNNNNNNNNNNNNNNNNNNNNNNNNNNNNNNNNNNNNNNNNNNNNNNNNNNNNNNNNNNNNNNNNNNNNNNNNNNNNNNNNNNNNNNNNNNNNNNNNNNNNNNNNNNNNNNNNNNNNNNNNNNNNNNNNNNNNNNNNNNNNNNNNNNNNNNNNNNNNNNNNNNNNNNNNNNNNNNNNNNNNNNNNNNNNNNNNNNNNNNNNNNNNNNNNNNNNNNNNNNNNNNNNNNNNNNNNNNNNNNNNNNNNNNNNNNNNNNNNNNNNNNNNNNNNNNNNNNNNNNNNNNNNNNNNNNNNNNNNNNNNNNNNNNNNNNNNNNNNNNNNNNNNNNNNNNNNNNNNNNNNNNNNNNNNNNNNNNNNNNNNNNNNNNNNNNNNNNNNNNNNNNNNNNNNNNNNNNNNNNNNNNNNNNNNNNNNNNNNNNNNNNNNNNNNNNNNNNNNNNNNNNNNNNNNNNNNNNNNNNNNNNNNNNNNNNNNNNNNNNNNNNNNNNNNNNNNNNNNNNNNNNNNNNNNNNNNNNNNNNNNNNNNNNNNNNNNNNNNNNNNNNNNNNNNNNNNNNNNNNNNNNNNNNNNNNNNNNNNNNNNNNNNNNNNNNNNNNNNNNNNNNNNNNNNNNNNNNNNNNNNNNNNNNNNNNNNNNNNNNNNNNNNNNNNNNNNNNNNNNNNNNNNNNNNNNNNNNNNNNNNNNNNNNNNNNNNNNNNNNNNNNNNNNNNNNNNNNNNNNNNNNNNNNNNNNNNNNNNNNNNNNNNNNNNNNNNNNNNNNNNNNNNNNNNNNNNNNNNNNNNNNNNNNNNNNNNNNNNNNNNNNNNNNNNNNNNNNNNNNNNNNNNNNNNNNNNNNNNNNNNNNNNNNNNNNNNNNNNNNNNNNNNNNNNNNNNNNNNNNNNNNNNNNNNNNNNNNNNNNNNNNNNNNNNNNNNNNNNNNNNNNNNNNNNNNNNNNNNNNNNNNNNNNNNNNNNNNNNNNNNNNNNNNNNNNNNNNNNNNNNNNNNNNNNNNNNNNNNNNNNNNNNNNNNNNNNNNNNNNNNNNNNNNNNNNNNNNNNNNNNNNNNNNNNNNNNNNNNNNNNNNNNNNNNNNNNNNNNNNNNNNNNNNNNNNNNNNNNNNNNNNNNNNNNNNNNNNNNNNNNNNNNNNNNNNNNNNNNNNNNNNNNNNNNNNNNNNNNNNNNNNNNNNNNNNNNNNNNNNNNNNNNNNNNNNNNNNNNNNNNNNNNNNNNNNNNNNNNNNNNNNNNNNNNNNNNNNNNNNNNNNNNNNNNNNNNNNNNNNNNNNNNNNNNNNNNNNNNNNNNNNNNNNNNNNNNNNNNNNNNNNNNNNNNNNNNNNNNNNNNNNNNNNNNNNNNNNNNNNNNNNNNNNNNNNNNNNNNNNNNNNNNNNNNNNNNNNNNNNNNNNNNNNNNNNNNNNNNNNNNNNNNNNNNNNNNNNNNNNNNNNNNNNNNNNNNNNNNNNNNNNNNNNNNNNNNNNNNNNNNNNNNNAUUGGUCAACUGGGUUUGGGAUGCAUGGGUCAUUUCCGGAAAGUGAUUGGGUACCAUCGUCAAGAUGCAGCGUCAAGGUUGCAAAGGGUGCCCUGGGAAUUUGAAGUGGAACCGUAACUCCACGAACUCACGCGCCCUUCGAUGGAAGGACUUCCUUACGUCCACGCUUGGAGAACAAUGCGAGCCAGUCCUGCUUGCCUUGCACCGCUUCGUCCCUGAGUUUACUUUUGCUGGUUGCUCAUCGGACUUCCAACGCGCUACUGCAGGAGCAGUUUUCUGCAUUCUAAAUUCCGCCUUCCCGAGUCUCACUGUCAUGUCUCUCAAGAAAUUUGGACUUCUCAGUUUAAAAAUGCUAGUGGACACCCGCACCUGCCCACGUCCCACAGCAGAAGUUUCAUGCUUCCUUCGUUUCGUCUUGAGUUCCUUCUUCUUCUCAGUGCAACAAGUGAAUUGCUUUCACACCACGAUACGAGAUGCAGGGGAAUCAUUUUCUUAUUCAUCAUCUCAGUGCAACGAAAGCCUGAACCUGCAUUUUUUUUUCUUUUCGGUGCACCUUCUUCGAUCUUAUUUAUGCAAAGACAAUGACCAUGUAAUGUAUCUGCCAAUCCCUGCUACAGCCUUGGCGUCUUCUAAUAACCAGGAUCGAUCAGUACAGUUGAAGAGAUCAAGUCUAUGUUAUUAAUAAGCAAGGAACUAUGUACGUAUGUGCGUAUGUAUGUAUGUAUUAACGCGUUCCAAAUUUACCGCUUCGUUCGACAUCUUCUGCAAUAGACAUCUGAAACGAAUGUUCUUCAUGCGAAGUUGCACAGAAACGAUCAAAACUUUGGCAGUAUGACCACGUCUCGGACGCUCCAGUAACCAACGGAGAGAUAGGCGGUACGUGCGUCAGAUUGGCGUUACCGUAAACUUCUCCGAGCAUUCCAAAAUCCUGGUGGAACGGAGACGAGUGCUAAAGAACGCAAUCAGAUUCAAACUAUUUGUUCCAAUCUGCGGUCAAGCAGCUGUAUAUCCCCAUAUAUCUGAUUUAUUCCACGUUCAUAAACCUACUUCAAGUCGCAGGGUGUGAUGUUGUCUCGCUGUCAAGAUAUCGAUGCUGAACUUUCUGCAUGAUUAAUGUUUCUUGUGGUGAUGGAGUAGGUAACUCAAUUAUAUUAGUGAUUCAGUCAACUAUCACGUCCUUGUCGGCCCUUCGGAUGGGUGAAGGCUGUCGAUGUAGCAUGACGUAUCUAUACACGUCCAUGUCUAUUAUAUUACCCCUUUACCUGUUCAUUUUAUCCUUUGAGUGAAAUUCCAAGCUUGACUGACCGGCCCUGUUGAAUGAUGCCAUGGGAAUGCAAUAUGAGUUGCUUGUGCGUGAAGGAACCUAAAAUAAUAAUAAGAUAUAUAGGAAAUAGAUCCCGAGAUUUCUGUUUAAGAGAAGCCUUAAUUACUCUAAAUCUGUUGCUUUGCGAUAUCUGCUCCGAUGUUCUUUCAUCCAAAUGGUUAGAGUCGGAGAGAAAUGCGAAGAGUUGUGAUCGCUUCUCUUCCUCUCACCUCCCUGAUGAGAUUGUGGAAGUUAGCAUAGAGAAAGAGAUGGCUUCUGCUCCGCUGUUGUGAUCGUUUCUGAGAUGUUGCGCUUUGACUUGGGUGUUACAACAAGAACGCUGUUAAAUCUUGUUACGCAAAACCAUGAAAGAUGAUGGCUUGUGCUCCGCUGUAGUUUGACUUCUUCGUUCUAUGAUCGUAUGAAGGCGUGAGAGAUGACUCUUCGUCAUCACUUAAACUCAGCUCAUCAAAGUUAGCAGAUUUGAUUCUUGGAGGAGAAGUUAGUGACUUGCGUUAAAAAAUACUCCGACGUUGAAACUGGAGUGAUGUGUGUAGCUUAGACUCGAGCAUUAAUUAAGGAAAUCAACACACUAGUUCUUGAUUUUGAACGUAGCAGUUGGUUUUCACAUUGGUAGAGUUGCGUGUGUACAGGAUUUUGGAUACAUAUGGUUGACUUGUAUCUCACUGUGUCAGCCAUCAUGAGCUCAUGGGAUACAUUCGAUGCUUCGUGGCCAAGUUGGUACUGCUGGUUAGUCAUUCUAAGCAUAUGAGCGCUGAAUAUUCAAACUGGUGUGCACAAGGAAUUGGACGUCAAACUUUGAACAUCUCACCUACUUUACUCGAGCUUAUGUCCAGGAUGUUUUAUAGUUGUUACUUUGACUUCUAACUUGCGUUCUGAGGCCGCAACGUGCGAUAGGUUGCAACCAGUUGACUUUUGGUGAUAAUAGUGUUUAUCGUCGUCGUUUUCAGAAGACUACACCCUCUCUGAAGAACACAGUCCACUAAAAAUGAACGGAACGGAACAAAUCUGUGGCUGUUUCGAAGCUGAAACGUGGCAUUAUACUGUACCGUCGGUGAAGAAGAAGGCAAUGCUCGAUGGACUGUUCUUAUUUGAACGCCUUACAUAUGUUAGGCACCGAGAUUUGGAUAAGCACGUUGAUGAUGAUAUAUGAGGGUGGAACCUCUUAAUCGGUCGUGAUUGCAACAUCAAAUGAAUGUAUGACUGGUCUGAGAGGUGCCGUAGCGUUGAACUUGUCGUUAUAACGGAAUGACGAGCGAGCGAUACUGGAGAUGAUGGUAUAGAACGAAGUAGAUGUGAUGAAACAUCACAACUCGUCACCCAGUCCAAACCCCCCACCAUCUCGGAAAUUUCUGCGGUCUUCACGGCCAUUGGUUCCCGGCGUGGAGUUUUCGCCGGGAGGACGAGAACAAAACUCCAUCUAUCAUCAUCGUUAUUUUUAUUUUGCUCAUGCCGUCACGUGGUUGCGAUGUGACCCACAUCACAAUCCGACAUCCACCAGGUUGAUAAUACCAAGCCCCAAAAUCCAACUUCGAGCUUCCACCGUCCGGUCUUGCCCCCAAUCUUUCAUUGGUCCUCGCUUGCUUCUGCAGGUUGUUCUGAGAAAUUUCCCUCUCGGUCCCGGAGAGAGUCGCGGCUAUAAAAGUCAUCAUCGAGAACCGAAACACGCAAGGAUCAGAGCAGAGGCCACGAGGGAAGAACAACCCUAACCCAACUAAAAAUUAACAUGGUUUAUCACUCCCUUUCGCGGGCGUGAAGGAGGAGGAGAGAAGAAACAGUAGAUGGAGUCAAUCUCCUCCGCCGCCUCUUCCUCUCGCCGUCCUGCCAGCUUCUUCACCCAAGCCAAUGCUCUCCUUCGCAAGAAUCUCACCUUCCAGGUUUCGCCUCUCUCUCUCUCUCUCUCUAUCUGUCUCUCGGGGAUGAAUAAAGAAUCAAGUCAUGAAAUGGAUUGCAAUUCGAUGAACGGUUUUGUCUUAUGUUAUUUUUCUUCUUUCUUUCUUUGGAUCAUGCAAGUCUUUUAAUUAACUGAUUACUGUACUCAUGUGCUCUUCCAAACCCCGCAGAAACGGAACCUGAAGACCAACAUCGGGAUCGUCGCGUUCCCCAUCUUUAUCUGCGUCCUGAUCGUCCUCAUUCAGCAAGUGAUCAACAACGAGCUGAACAAGGAUAAGUUCCAAUGCGGGUGCCAGGGAGGCGACUGCGGCCUCCAGUACUCGACGCUGGAUCAGGUCGACACUUGCCCCAUUUCAAGCCCUCCUGAGUGGUCCGCUCUCAUCCAAGUUCCUCGCCCCCAGUAUCGCGCCGUCAGAACUGACUUUUCUCAAUCUGCCGACUUGCCCGAUGAGUCCUGCAGAGCUUCCCAGUCCUGUCCCGCGGCAGUGCUCCUCACUGGCGGUAACCGAUCCCUCGCGCAAAGUAUGUGAUGCUCACCCGAUGAAUUUGUCUCUUUUGGCUGAUGCCAUCAAGCAACGAUCUGCUACGAAUGAAUAACUUUGAACUUGAUUCAUCAUUGAUAGGUCUAGCGCAGAGUCUGUUUCUAAGCUCUUCCUCUGCGUUGAAUUUCUCGGAUUAUCCCAGUAGUUUGUCGAAUGUCAUCCUCGUAAUAUUCUUCUCUCUUGUUUUUUUCUUUUUGUAUAUUUGACUCACCCACUUGAGUAAGUCCUUGGCUUGUUUGUUGUCGUUGUUCAUAAAUUGAGCCAUUUUUACUCUUUCUUUGAUCUUUAGGGGACGGAUACACCUACCGAGAACACACAAUUCAUUGAACCAGCUUUUGUCUCUGACAGGCCCUUUUAUGUAGUCCAACCGCAAUGCACAACAAACGCAACAAGUCCAAUUUCGUUUAAAAACGCCAACAUAUCGAUUGAGCUAGGUAGGGAUUUUUUUUCUUGCUUAUGUACAAGGCUACCUAGUUUUCUUCGCAUCACCUUUUCAAAUUAUAAAUUUAUCUGAGAUAUGGUUUAUUUAAAUUAUUUCACUAUGAUGCAAUUCUUAUCUAUAAACCUCACCUUUGUGGUUCUGUUUAUAUCGAAAACAAUUUUAUCUCAGCAGCCACAUAGUAUGUUAAAGAGGAACACUCUACUUUCUCCUCUUUUAUACAACAGAAGAAAAGACAGGUCUUGUGCCCAAGAAUAUAGACAAGAAAAUUGUUUGUGUGAUGCUUACUUCAUAUCCUUGUCGAUUGCUUGUAUGUAACGUCUUGCUGAUUUCUCAAAACUGAAGAAACAAGCUACUCACUAAUUCUCUCUCACCAAUUCACUCUUUUUUUUUUUUGAGGUGCCAAAAUGAAGAACAUACAACUUUAAGAUCUAAUUUUUAUAUCCUUGAUAUUUGAAAAAUCAUGAUGCUCAACAGUAUAAAAUUUGUCAAGCCAAAUACUGAUGUCUGAAGAAAUUAAAGAAUUUUUCAAACACUUCUUUAGAGGAGCUAGCAGAAAAAACCUUAUAUACAAGCUUUCUGGCGCUUGCUAAGAUAUGAAUGUAACCAUCUCCUCACAACAUGCAUAGACUUAUGCUCCUUAUUCGUAAUUAGGUUCAUGAUCCGUAGGUUAGUAUUAGACCAUUGUUUUUCUUACAUAAUGCCAAUAUUUAUUUAUUAGCUUUCUGAAUUUUUUGAUAUCCUGUUUGAUCACUAUGAAAUGAAGAUUUGGAAGCACAAUUGAAGUUCCUGUUUUAGCUAACGACCAAAAAAACGUAUGGACACUUCCAUUUAUGUUUUGAGUUAUUUUUUCCACAAUAAAGUUUUAUAGUUAUUAAAUUAAGUCAAUCUACAUUAGAAAUUUAUUUGGGAUUUUUAUCAUGUUUCGUAAGUUACAAAUAAUAACACUGAUGCAGGAUAUUAUUUAUAACUUAUGAACUCGCAUGCGAUAGAAGUCUAAUUGGAACAAAAAGUCUUUUUAUGGCAAGAAUUAUCUUGUUGUGAAAUUAUAACCAUCUUAUCUUGUAUAAAAACAACCGUCGAGUUUAUGUAUGGGAGGUCUCUUGAAGAACAGAACCACAAACAGUUGGUACAUCUUCUCUUGUCUUUUUGCAGUAUAGAUGAAGAUGGUCAAAGAGCCACAUCAUGAAAAAGUAAAGGGAAAUAAAAAUCAAUGUACAUUAUUUUACAUGAUAUUGGUGGAAAGGAGUUAAUAAAGUGGAAAAAUAAUUUCAAAGAUGCAUUAGAAUAUUAGUUCUUGUGAGUAAAUCUUAGAAAAAUUACCAUCAUGUUCUUUCUGCAAACUUCAGUAUU